UUUUGUUUUUUUGUUUUUUUGUUUUUUUGUUUUUUUUUUUUUUUGUUUUUUUUUUUUUUUUUUUGUUUUUUUUUUUUUUUUUUUUUUUUUUUUUUUUUUUUUUUUUUUUUUUUUUUUUUUUUUUUUUUUUUUUUUUUUUUUUUUUUUUUUUUUUUUUUUUUUUUCUGAAUCUAAUAACAGAGAGAAUUAAAAGGAGGGAUGUCAGUUGUGGUGAGGAAGAUAGGAUCAGUCACUUGCCAGAACACUUGAAAGACUCGAUUUUAGGCGGCUCCCGAUUGAAGAGGCUGUAAGGACAAGCAUUAUAUCAAAAAAGUGGAGGUACAGAUGGACCACAAUGAGGGUGCUGGUUUUUGAUCUGCAGUUCUCUAAAAAGUUUUCAAAAAAUGGAGCUUUUGGUCGUAAUGGGUUUAUAAGGAUCAUAAACAAAUUCUUGAUCCUUCACACGGGUCCAAUUUCGAAAUUUCUUCUCCAUAUACCAAAUAUUUUUCUUGAUACCUUCGAAGAAGUCAACCAAUGGAUGCUACUCUUAUCAAGAAGAGGUGUCAGGGAACUCAUUCUUGCUAAUUCAAAUCGUAGUUACGAACUUCCUUCUUGUGUGUUUUCUUGUCUAGAAUUGAGAAGUUUGAAAAUGGUAAACUGUUUCUUCAAUCCACCACGUGCGUUUGAAGGAUUUCUCAACCUUGAAGAACUUCUUCUGCACCAUUCUGAUUUUGGGGGUAGAUUGUGUGGAACUAAGAUCAACCUACCACGGCUUAAGAGGUUGGCCUUGGUUACAUGCACAAAUGUUUACAAUUUCAACAUUAACGCUACAAAACUACAGACUUUGAUUGUCCUUGAUUGUCCUGAUGCCAUGUUGCUUCGGUUAUUGGACAGUCCAUGCCUUUUUCAGGCUAUAAUUGCUUUACGGAAACCCAUACAAGAUUUUGUACGAGUUGAAAAAAUCACUUUGGCCACAUUAAUGUUGAAUAACUUGCCCAGUGUUAGACAAUUUUGUAUCGACAGUCAUUUUCUUAAGGUUAACUUUUUAUGCUCUUUCUUAAGAGGUCCUACAUUUCUCGUCUAUUGUAAUUCUCAUGUUUAUUGGGUGAUUUAAACACUAACUUUCAUCUGACAGUUUUUUAUCGCCGAAAAAAUUCCAAAGUUGCUUCCACAUGCAAUUUAUAGUUUAAAGUAUCUGCGGUUGUCCCAUUAUCAACUUGCUGAUUUGCAUCAACUUCACGGUGCUCUUUGUUUGCUUCGGAACUCACCAAAUCUUGAAACCUUGAGGUUAUUCAUGACAAUGGUAAAUUAAAGAAAUAAUUAUAAAACUACAACUUUUUGGGUUAUAUGAUACAAGAAUUAGAUGCUAAACUAUGGUUGCAUUUUGUGUAUUUUUAGGUUCCUCGAGUAAUUGAUGUGGGUCCAGCUUCAAAUCAUUUGGAAUCCCCAAAUUGUUUCGAUUGUACAUUGAACCAAUUGCAAACUGUAGAGAUAACAUGUUUAGAAGGAUCAAAACCGGAACUGCUUUUUAUAAAGCUUCUUCUUGCUCAUUCCCCUUCUCUCGACAAGUUGACCAUUACACCAAGUCAGAAAACUUUUUCUGAUGCUCAAAAAGAUUUGACAUUACUACAGUUGUAAUGCAGUUCCCUCGAGCCUCAUCAAAAGCAAAGAUGUUCUACUUGAAUCCCAAGCCAUAAUCAUGUACGUAUGAAUGUUCAACCACAUUGCAAUUUUUUGGGGGUGGCAUUACUGAUAGAAGUAUCAAUUAUGAUGGACUUUUUUGCAUUUACAUUAACAAAAUAUGUAUAAAUUGCCCUUUUUUGCAUUUAUUUUUAAAGCACAUGAUAAGUACAAUUUAAAAGUAGAUGAACAACAAUUCAACAUCGAUUUACGGAAAUGUAGACAGAUACCUACAACCGAAAUCAAUUCUUCAUGGAGUUUCUGUAUCCGCUACUGCACUAGGGUCUAGCGUUCAACAAUAUGAUCGUGCAGGUCAUAAUGGUAGUAUGAUUAAGACUAUGAUUAACUUUAGUAACAAAAACCUACCAUAAUUUAGAAAUACUAGUAAUGUCUUACAAUUGUUCACGAUGAGUUUUAUAUUUUGAAAACAAUUCAUAAAUAUAUUUUCUUAUGUGAUUAUAUAGAGUAUUGCGAUAUCAUGCAUUAGGUGAUUUAUAUUAUGUAUUAUUCUGAGUUGUUGAGGUAGGACCAGAGGGUCAACCCGAGUUGUGGGACUGGAGGGUCCCACUGAGACACAUUGUCCGGAGGGCCCUAUCCGAUCAUAUCCAUGAGAGGCUACUGAUUUAUGUGUGGUAUUUUGGGGAACUCACUAAGCCUUGUGCUUACAGUGUUAUGUGAUAUGUGUUUUAGGUACUUCCAAGGAUCGCGGGAAGGCGCCGACUUGGUAUCAAAGCCUUGGUUUGAGGGAUUCGGGUGUACCUUCGGGUAUGUCUGAACUCAAACUGGGAAAUUAGUUUUUCUAAAAUGAGAAAGAAUUUUAAGAGAAAACGAGUUGGAGCAGUGUGUACAAUCAGCCAAAGCCCGAACGAUGAUUUUCCAAACUAAUCUUACUUAUUUGUGUAAUGAGAUAUUUAUGAGACAUUAAUGAUGCAUGCUAGAGAAUAGGCUAAGUAAUUCAUGCUUAGGGGUAGAUAUGACUGAUUUGUGAUGCUUUAGCCUAGGAGUUCUUGCUAUCUGCUAUGUGUAUUGAGUAUGUGAUGAGUAAGAGUGCCUAGCAGGAAUCACUUACAGAGAAUUUCAGUCGAGUGAUACACUAGAAAUAUACCUAGAUGAGCAUAUGAGAUAUCUAUUGAGAGGGUAGUCUGUUACUUGUGAGAGUUAGAGUACUUGUGAAUUGGUAUCCUAGGAUGAGGACUUGGGGUGACCACAGGUUGGUGUGGAAGGUAGUAUUAGGCCCAUACUACUAAAAACACCGGAUCUGUAUGCAGCCCAAGUAAGAAUCAUUUGGGUACUAAGGAGCAUGUAGGAGUGGGAAUCGAGUGUGAGUAUGCUCGAGCGAGUCUUUGAUGAUUUUUUUGUUGUGUCUCAGAAGCAAUAUGGUGGUUACUCGCCAUAACCCCGGGGCAGUGGAACUAGUGGUAACAUUGAUGAGGAGAUCCGCAGGAUGAUUCAUGAGGAGGUGGCCGCAGCCAUUUGAGAGGCGAUACCGUAGAUGUUUGGGUCUAUUAUGACCACAAUGAUUGAGACAUUUGAUGAGUGUUAUGCUCCUGUUACUGAGGCUGCUGCUACCGCAACCAUUGUAGCCGUAGUCGUUGCCAGGCCACAGGGAGGUCACUCGUUGUUGUACCGAGAGUUCAACAACACGAAGCCACCAAAGUUUGGUGGGACUUAGGAUCCUAUUGCUACUUUGAGAUGGAUCUCUGACAUUGAGGGGUGUUUCUACGCGUGUUCAUGCCCAUAGCACCUGAUGGUUUGGUUUGUACUGAACCAGCUUCGCUUGGGAGCGAAGGACUGGUGGAAAUUCGCGACAACCAACUUUACUCCUGUAGAGCAUGCUGCAGCGACAUGGGAUAGGUUUACGCAGUUGUUCAGAGAUGAGUAUGUUCCCCCGAUGGAGAGGGAACAGUUAGCCUAGGAGUUUCUGUCUCUCAGACAGAAGGAAGAGUCAGUGGUAGAGAUUACGAGGAUGUUUCAUGAGAGGGCAUUAUUCUGCCCUUAGCAUGUGUCUACUGUGCAGGCACGCAUGAGCCGGUAUUUGAGCAUUCCGAGGAGGGACAUUCGGGAGUUCCUGGUGAAGUCGUCAUAUCGGACAUUUGCUGAGUUGCAAGAAAAUGCCAGGAGGAGGGAGAUUGAGUUGGAGACGCAGGGUCGAGAGGAUUUGGAAUCUCAGGGGAGAGAUAGGAGACCAGUGCAGACACAUCCGGUGGAUAAGCGGGAUAAGCCCGUUGAUUCGAGAGCUGGGGGCAAGAAGGGCCGCACUUGUAGCAAGUGUGGUGAAGAGACAUAGAUCUGGAAUGCCUCUUCUGGUCUUCUGAUGCGGCGAAGAUUUGAACAUCACAGAGCAAAGUCGUUAGAGUAGCCCUAGGGACUGUGCCCCGGGAGCGGACUCCGACGAUCAAGUUAGAUCAGUUGGUAGAUCUGAGAUGGUUCUCCUUAGCUAGAGAGAACCAUCUUGGUGCCGGUGGUGGUGUAUGGUGGCUGACAGUGGUGGCUCAGGAGUAUAGUGUGGCAGCUGAGCCAUGGGGAGAGAUCUGGUGGCGGCUGAGCCAAAGGCAAGAGUCCUCUUCUAUAGAGGAGACACUAUUCUAUUUAUAGUGGACAAUUAGGUCAACGGGAAUUAGGUCAGGCCAUGGGCUAGCCUAAUUCAGGCCCAACUAGCAAGGAGCUGGGCAAGGCCGCCCAGAGGUGCCGGGCAGGACUAGCGGGCGUGCCCCGGGCAAGGCCAAUUGGCGCGCACCAAGAAAGGUUGACGGGGGAGCGCCAGGCGAAGGAGCGUCAGGUCGGGCCGGUAGGAGAGUCCCUAGCAUGGCUGGCAAGGGAGCACUAGGCAAGGAUGACAAGGGAACGCCAGGCAAGGCUGGCAGGAGCGCUCUAGGCCAGGUUAGCGCUUUAGAGCAGUCUAGGCCAUGCUAAUGGACCAUAUAUCAUCAAGUCCCCCAGUCCGAUGUUAUUGGUACGCGACAAAUGACAUUGGACAAGACUCAGUCAUAUAAACUAUGCGUCAUCAAGUCUCCCUAGUCCGAUGUUAUUGGUAUGCGGCCCAUGACGUUCAAAUGGACUAAGUCAAAUAAACUGUGCGUCGUCAAGUCCCCCUACUCAAGUAUGAUUGGAUUGCUAACAAUCAGAUCGGACUAGACAAAGCACCAAUACGUUAAAUAAUAUAGAGAACGACCGAACCUCGCCCACAAGAGUCGUGGGGUUGUGCGAUGAGCCAAGUACUACUUGAGCUGACUUGAUACUCCUUUUUUGAAAGAAGUGCAAGCCGAUUGGUGUGAUGCAACGUAACUGUAGCUGCGAUCAUGCAGACCUAGGUUGCUAAAGAGUGUUACGCGACAUUGAUGUUGAUAAAAUGUCGGGUCAGGGUAGCUAAGAACCGUAACCUUGCCAUAUAGUGAUAAGACUAAAAUACUUUAAGAUCGAUUAGAUUCUUAACAAGAAAAACCAAGAAUGUAAAUUAAACAAGAACAUAAGAUGAAUCAAAAGAUUGUCUAAUUCAGAAGAACUCUAUGAAGAAUUGCUACUAUAGAGGUGUGCUAGGGUUACAAUAUGAUAGCUAGAAUGAUAAUCACCAAAAGUGUACAUAAUACAGUGCAUGCAUGCACUACUUAUACUAUAACCCUAAUAAAUAACUAACGGCUGGACAUGCCCAAUACCGUAUACAUAAUGGACCGAACUAGACAGCCUAAUGAUGCAACAUUUUAAGCCCAACAAUCUCCCCCUUUGCGUCAAUUGAGGUGAGAGAUCUAUUGAUGUGCUAGUGUGGUCUUCUUCACUAUCUUGAACAGCUUCGGGAUGAUAGCAAGUAGAGUAUGACGAAAAUUGAUGUACCACCGAAGCAUGUCAGAGAAUUUCUUGUUAUCUGCAUCCUCAUUAUGUUUGCACCUGUGUAUAAUAUCCAAAAUAUGUUCCAAACAGGAAGUGGAGAACAGGUGUUUAUCAGCCAGAGCGAACAAGCAUUUUUGGUUCUCUGCUCGAGUAAACAUCACCGUAUGAAACUUUGGGUCGAUCUUGCCCAUUCGCAUCUUGUUUACAUCGCUUGCCUUCCCGAUUGGCUUGACUGUUGGCUUUUUCCUUAAGGCAGAGGCUAUCUCGUGAUCCAGCUUGGUGACUUCGUGUAUGUAUGAGACCAACAUUCACUUUAUGUGAGCAAGAAUGGGUUCAUACUUUUGUUCAUCAGUUAUCAAGAAGUUCGUCAGCAGAAUCCAAUCAUGAGGAUUAAGAUUUGGUAGGUCAGCAAGAGAAAUCUCAUGAACUGAAUUUUCAAAACUGUGUGCGGCCCGAAACUUCACAUUGAUGAAGUUCCCUGCAGCGACGUGCUUCAACACCUUGACCGUAGUAAUCUUCUGUGCACUCCAAGUCAGGUAUUGAGGUUGCAAGAAAGCAAGAUAAUAAUCAAUUAGUUCUCUAUCAACCUUUGGGUCAGGAGAGGGAAUGGAAGCAAUUGGCUCAAAACAAUGAAAGACAAAUUCCCUUCGGGUGAUCGACAUGUCAAACUGUGAGUCUUUAGAAUUCUCCAGGUCAAAGGAAAUGACCGGUUCAAGCCAAUGGGUACUGGGAGAUUCUAUUGAUUCUUUUAUCAGCUUCUCCAACGUCCACAGAGGAAACAAAGUUUUUCUACUUUCCAAUGCGUUGUGGGUUUCUUUUGCUUUUCGUUCCCUUUCUUUUUCUUCUCUUGCGAUUCGAAGGUUUUUAUCAAGCUCUCGGUCGCGAUGCAUUCGUUUCAAUGCCUCUUCUUCACUUUCUUCUUCUUCUUCUUCGCUUUCUCCUAUAAUCUUCUUCCCUUUGUCUUUCACACUUGAACCCGAAGCUUCAUUACCCUUCAGUUCAUUGGUGACUUUCGGUUUGGGAGGAGUUUGAACUGUUUCGGUUGUUAGAGGUUGAGUAGGAGGAGGUUGAGCUGAUUUUUCUUGAGUAACUUCUCCCCUUGUUUUGGAGGAACAUCCGCCUCUAAAACACCCUCUAGACGAUGUAAGAUUUCAAGUGUUGGGUGGAGUUUCUCUGCUAAGUGUCGACGGAAACUGAUUGGUAAAACCAAAUCAUGAGGUUCCAGGAGAUUGGUGAGGAGGGCACUAAUAUCAUCUACACAUGUUUUCAUAACCGCCUUCUCAGACUUGAUUUCAUCAAUUUCUUUGUUCGCCUGGUUGAGCUUUAAGGUCUUGGUCUUGAGCUGAGUGGUGCGAAGGGUCAGGUCAUCCAUAACCUUGCUUUCCAAGGCUAAGUCAGCCUGGAGCUUGUCAAGUCGAGAGUUGAUGGAGGACUGGAGCUCUGUGUUGUCAGCUUGAAUGCUCUUUCGGAAAUUAUUAAAAUUUUCCUUUUCAGCCUAGAGCGAGGUGGUGAGCUUCUCAACAGUGGCAUCCACCAUGUUGGCAUUCUUUUCGGCAACGGCAUGAAGAGAAUCCAAUAAUACCUGAGCAUUUGAAAUUAGUUUUUCGACAUUUUCGGUCGCUUGUUUGCAUGACUUUGUGGACUCUUCAAUAGUUGUGGUUGCUUGUUGACAGGAAGAAGUGGAGGCAUCAAUGGCUUUGGUCGCCUUUGCAAUCGAGGAGUCAUGUUCCUUAACAAAUGUGGCCAUCAAGGCUUUGAUUGCAGUUUCGGUGUAGGCAGUAUUUGGAGAGGAGGACGAAGAGGCGAUCAUGUUAUCAAUAUUCUCAUUUAAGGCCUUGAGAUGCCUCUUCGUGAUAGGAGCAUCAUCGUCACUGUCAGAUUGAACGAAGAAGGGGCUGUAAUGGAAUGUGUAAAACUUAAUGUCGUCGCCACUAAGAAUGGUGUCAGACUCGGCAAAUUGAGUAGGUGAGAGUGGUUUGGAAGUAAUAGGGAUUUCAAAACCAGAAGUUUGUGCCCCCGCAUUAGGUGCAUUGACAUGAACUGGUGGUUCGUUUGUAGGAGUUGUGGUUGUUGUGGUGGUUUUGGUGAAAAGUGGUGGUGGUAAUGGUAUAGAAGUGGAUGGUUGAGAUGAAGUUGGAGGAGGGCAUGGAGCGAUUGAAAUAGGUAUGGUAUAGUGAGUAGCAGAAGGAGGUGGAGAAGGAAUAUUUUCAGUAGCAUGUACCUGAUGCUUUGGUGAUGGUGGAGGUGAAUCACCCUGGAGCGAGCCCUCAGAUUGAGAGCUUUCACUUUUGCUUGACUCGGGUUCUGGUUGUUUAUCUGAAGGCACAUAGUCAGAAUCGCUCGUUGAAGGAGCUUUCGGCUUUAAAGACAUCUUCUUAAGCUUUUGCCUCUUUGGAGUCGAAGGAGCUCCACCCUUUGACCUUCGCUUCUUUGGGGUGGCAGCUUGAGAUGAAGGGCCUUCUUGAACAGUUUUCUUCGUAUCUCCCUGCUUGCCUCCUUUCUUGGGUUUGUCUGCAUCAUCCAAAUAUUUCUGCAUCUCAAUAGUACUGACUCUUGGACCCGAAACAUGUAACUUCUUGUAUUCAGUAAUGAUUUUUCUUGCACCCGAAACACAUCUGUACAUCGAGUCAGGGAUGGAACCAAUGAACGGGAACAUGGAAAAAUCCGCCACGAUGAUCUUUGUGGUGUGAAAUGUAGCAAUUGUGGACUUCAAAAAAUCUUCCAUUACAGAAACAUUGAAUUUUUCCAUGGCCCUUUGUAACGCCUCGAUUAUCAGGUAUUAAUAUUAUGGCUUUAACUUUCAAGUUUCAAGGUCUACUCGACGAGUUGGAAGCCCUGACUCGUCGAGUAGUAGCGGGUUUGGGGCCACGUGUUUAAGUGACCAGCUCGUCGAGUCGGAAGAGUGACUCGACGAGUUGGAGCUGGAGGGUGAAACCCUAAUUUCCUAGGUUUUGCACCCUAUUUAAGGAAUCAUUAGCCUCCCUUGGUCCCUUACAGCCUCUAGAGAGUCCAACAAACCCUAUUUCAUGUGAGAGCUUCAUUUGAGUGUGUUUCGAGCUUUGGAAGGUGGAACUUGUGAAGGGAGCUUGAUGGUCAAGUAGCUAGCAGCAAGGAACACGUGUGGAUCUACAAAAUAUAUCUUAGUUAGCUUCAUUUGAGGUAUCAAUUCAUGAUCUUGGCCUCAUUUCUUUCUAUAUCUCUUUGGAUGAAGUUUAGGGCUUUUUGUCUUGGUUAUGAAGUUAUUGUUGAGUAUGAGUUGGAUCUGAAGUUGCAACUUCAGAUCUGAACCCUCCUUGGGAUGUAUUGUUGAAGAUUCAGGGGAGUUGCACUCGGUUGUGAGGAAUUUGAGGAUGGUGGAUGAGAUGCAAGGAUAGAUCCUUAGAUCUCAAGUUAUGAGUAGACUCGAGUUAUGUUCAUAGAGGUAUUCCAAUCUAGGGUAUUCCGUCCUGAGGAUGACCGGACCCUAUGAUUGCUUUGACCUGAUAUGUUUGGUAUUCUAGCCCGAGGCUGAUUGAGCCAGGCUUGUGUGUUCGUGUUUUAGUGGAUCAAUUUGGUAUGAUAUUUUUGGGACAAAUAGCAUGUCAGCACAAAAGGGGUUCGCUUCAGGAAGAGGGAAAGUUGGGUUUCCGAUACUUUGGAUCAUCAGGAUUUUGUCAAGUUGGCUAAGUGGCAUGAAGGAUAGACCUUAUGAAAAGGUUCGAUUGGGAUUCACAUCACCUUUCACGUUUCGCGGUUACGAAAGUGCGUCGAAUCCUGACGUCAGCGAAAUCCAAGGCUAAAAGUGAUUGCUACCUGACCAAUGGUAGCCUUAUAUCACAAACGACCUUAAGCAGUCCAAUGCUUCCCUGAUCUCAUAACUUUAUUUGCAUCCCUACAGUCUUAUCACUGGCUCCACCAGAUCUAAUCCAUCUGGCUAAUUCCAAAAUCCAAUCUAUGGAUUUCCAUAUCCUCACUGCUGCACCAAAACUGGUGGGUACUAUUGUUCUCCUCGUGAACUAACAUCACUACCCUACUACCUGUCAACCUAGUGAAAGCUAUGUCAACCCUCGCAGGCUUACAACACUCUAACACUAUCUGACAACUUGGCGAAUGUUAUGGCUACACCCACAGACUUACAACACUUCCAACACUAUCUGGACACCUUGUGAAUGCUACGGCUACACCCGCAAACUUACAACAUUUCUAUCACUAUCUGACAACCUCGUGAAUGCUAUGACUACACCCACAGACUUAAAACACUUCCUAAACCGGUUCGAGCACGCACUCGACCUAACAGUCAAUUGAACUUAAGUCCUAACUGAAGCUAUAACCUGGUUCCCGAAUCAUGCUAUCUGUUGCCAAGGAAAACACAAACCAAAAGUUGGAACGUUUUCUAUACUCCCAACUCACCCAAUCCUCAACCUAGACGGCCACUUAGCCGCCCUCCUUCCUAACGAGGAUGUGAAAUUCAUCCUAGUUUCACACCUAUUACGACUGCUAAGUACCUGACCGAUUCUACCCCAUUUAGCUUCAGCUAAGUCUUCAUGACACGUUAGAAUUGAAGGAUUCCCAGUCCUUCUUGCUUCCUAAUAAUCCACUGGUGGCAACCUGUGCUUACCAAUGCUAACGAUCAAUUACCAGUCAAACCUCAAGAUUGACCAUUCUUUGAAGACUUGAAGAGUACUCUUGAAAUCUGGUCCAGUCCGACACUUCAAUCCAUCUCCCAUGCUGCCUAAUGAAGGCCUUAAUCUUCACUCUGGCUGACGAAUCCUCAUUUCCACUUCCAAUCUUGCAGCACCACUGAACUCUAACCGAACACAACAUAUGCAAAAUACAAUUAUCUUGAACAUACAAUGGCCAACCACUUAUGCAUCCAACACCCGCAAUUGACACUACCAUCUUUAUGCUACUGGUCCUGUCCUACCAACGGUAGUGCCUUGAACUCCAAGGUUCUUCCAUAGAAAAAUGUUGACCAUACCCGAACAAUGAUAGAACCACUGAACUUUGACUUCACUGGAAAACUAUCGUUCUAAUACUGACCUAAUAUCCUCUGAAUAAUACUCCUAAACGGAUCUCGAAAAAGAUCCAGAAUGAUAACGGUACAUGCGGAACCCACUCCACAAGAUGCGUCCCUCUGUGGGUUUAUCAAGGACUUUUCAGCAUGCAGGAUGGCACAUAUGAUCCUUGAUAACCUAGAAAAUAGCAGAGAACCGACCCGAGAUCUACCUUAUCCAAACUUAGUCAAAAUUCCAAUGUGGUACAAUUUCCCAACAUCCACCUGAAAGUAGCAGAUAGUACACAUUCGCGGUCAUCUGGAGGAUUCCUGAUCACUUCAUCCUGAGAUAUCUCGACCAUCAGAGAUUUGCAAAAUAGCCAGAGCAGGCGUCUUUUCUGCUCCUUUACUUCCUCCUUGAUGACAUGAACUAACAAUAGGACCCUCUUUCCUGAAGGACUCUAAGGAUUCACAUGCUUUGGGCUUCAGAUGAGUCCCUAACUGCCCCGUAACAAAUAUGUACUAUGAACUGAGAGAACAUUGAACGCCCCGAACCAACAAAAAGGAAGCAAUCUUACACUAAACACUAGUAAUUCACAGUUUGCAAUUGGCAUAUGACAAUAUUUGAUGAUCUAAUACACCAGGAGAAAAGAAACAAAACAUGGAUACACUUACUCAUCCAACUAUAAUAUCCCAAACCACAACACAAUUCCCACAACAAUGUGCAGGUAAAACUGCAAGAAGGCUAGGUUACAUACCCACAACAUCGCCUGCUGGAGUUCUGACUUCUCCUGUCUGAAACUGCAGGGCCUAACUCUUUCUGCUAAAAUGACCAACCCCGAUACACUUGUAGCAGCCUAAACCCUUGGAAUGUCAAACUCCCUUGUGUACUUUCCCGUACGUGCUGCACUGAAUCCGGCCUGCUAGCGUUUCACCCGAUGAUCAGAAGUCUUGGGUAUCCUCCUGGGACCCUCUACUAUACACACCUAGCACGACCCUCUCUUCCCAACGGCUCCAAAUUGAUCUCACAUCUGCAAACUCUUGGAAGUCAUAUGCUUCAGGGUCUGAUACCCUGUCACGCUCACUUGUUCACUUGCCAAUGUCUGAGCUGCAACAGCUAGAACAUCGUCUAUCUCCAAACCGAGUCACAAACUCCUACCCGAAGCUUCUUAGAUUCUCCAAGACUCUCACCGAUUCGAGUAUUGAUCCUGUGCUUUCAGUAGUAUGGGCCCAAUACUACCUUCCACACUUUCCUCAUCAAUCCUCCUGAAUCCUCUAAGUCACUUCUUCAAACCGAUACACCCCAGUCUCACUAAUCCUCACUACUAACCCACUGAAACAUAUCCUAGGCUUUCCUAGGUUCCCAAACCCACCCAGUCCUCAUCUCCUGAAAGAUUCCUAGUAAUGUCAACUAGCUACCUUAUAAAUUUAGCCACAUGCAAUAGAGAUCAGAUAAUCCUUCGAGUAAAAGACUCAUCCCUAGAAUGGUUAGACUCAAAUGAGAGAUGUGCAAUAGGGUCAAAUUUAUCACUCUGAGAUUAUCCAGCCUGUGCCACAUGUGACUUAGCAUAUUCACAUAAUACCUAGCUCACAUUACUAAGAGUCCCACAAAGCACAAAGCAAACAACAUUCAGACAAUGGAAAGUCUAACUAACAUAUUCCGAUUAAAUCAUUCUAUCCUCUUAUCAGGAAUCUAUACUGGCAUGAAAUUCUAAGGCUCAUACACUAAGGCAUAACCUAAAUAGUCUAUCCUAUCACUGAGUUAUCAGUACUAUCAUGCAUCUCAUCAAGCACAUACAAUAGGCAUAUAAGGCAUCCUCCUAGAUCCUUAGCCCUAAUCUAGCAUUCAGUCCUCAUACACAUACAAUAGGCAUGUAAGGCAUCCUUCCUAGAUCCUUAGCCUUAACCUAGCAUACAGUUCUCAUAAUCAUAUCAUAUCAUAACAUAACAAUGAGUAUCUUGGGGAAAACUUACUUGAGUUCGGUUGAUUGCACGCAUCACACACCUUGUUCUUUUCAAAUUCUUUUCCCUUUUCAAAUCGUUUUCAAACUCUUUUUAUAAAAAGAUUUUACUUUUGAAAAUUUUCAUACCAAGCCCUUAGUUUGAGUUCAGACACACCCGAUAGUGUGCCCAAAUCCCUCAAACCAAGGCUCUGAUACCAACUUGUAACAUCCCAAAAUUCAAUGCCAAAAAUUUCGUUUUUAGUUUAACAAUUCAUAAACCAUAAAAAUAUCCACAAAAACAUCUCAUGUCAAACCAAAGUGUCAAUAAUCAAACGUGUUAUCAUAAAAUAAUAUCAGAGUGUAAUCCCAAAGAUCUGAUGUGCAGAAAACAUAGUGUGAUGCGCUACGAUCAAGCUGACUCCUUUCUCUUGAAAAUGAAUACCUGAAACCAAAACUUUAAACCGUAAGCACGAAGCUUAGUGAGUUCCCACAUCAUACCACAUACCAUAUAACAAACAUACUGCUAGGCAAUUCUGGGGUACCCGACCUACCCUGCUAGGCAAUUCUGGGGUGCCCGACCUACCCAUGUCAAGCAAUUCUGGGGUGCUUGACCUACCCUGCCAGACAAUUCUGGGGUGCCUGACCUAUCCAUGUAAAGCAAUUCUGGGGUGUUUGACUAACCCUCCGGUCUAUCUCAACCGGCUACGGGGACUAUUUCACCUUUACCACUACCACAUAACAACAUAACAAAAACAUACUGUCAGGCAUAUCUAGGGUGCCCGACCUACCCCUUGGUCCUUACCACCGUACUCGGGGACUAUUCCCCCUAGGCCCCUACUACCUACUAUUACAUAACAUCAUAUCAUGCUAGCACAUAAACAUAUCAGGUAAUAGCAAACCUAGAUGAUUAUCAGAAAGACAAUCAUCUAUCAAACAACUCUACUAGUGGGCCGACAUUGUGGCCUUAGACCCACUUCUACUGGAAGGUAACUCACCUCAAUCUGUUGAAGUCCCACAUAUGAAAAUUUGGCUGCUGGAUGACAGCUUCCCUAACUCUCAAUAUCUAAACAACACCCAAUUAAUAAUUGGGUUCCAACACAAAAAUCAUAAGUCCAUGCUUGGGGUAAAGAUUGCUUUACCCUUAUCUUAGCUUGAUUCAAGUCAAAGCCCAAUCCAAAGGCCCAAAAGUUAAACUAUGAAUCAAGGCCCAACAUAUGGCCCAAUUUUCCAAAUUGGGCCCAAACCUUUACAUGGUCUUAUUCUAAUGCCCAACCAUUUAGUCCAGUCCAAACAUUUGGCAUUUCUAAUGGCCCAAUAUCUUAUAAUCAUGAAGGACAAAUUAUGGCCCAACUAUGGCCCAAUUUUCCAAAUUGGGCCCAAACACACAUUUAGGCCUUUAACCUAAAGCCCACUCCUAUAUUCUUAGUCCAUAUGAUUGUUCUUGGAUGGCCGAUUAUUGGCCCAAACACCAAAUCCCAAUAGAAAGGCCCAACACAAAGCCCAAGUGAAAUUAAGGGUUUCACAUAAAAUGAUGAUUAGGGUUAAGUGUUUCUCACUUAACCCAUUAAGGACUUAAUCCAUUAAGUCCAUCAAUCUAUUGGGUCAAUCAUGUAGUGUGGCCGGGCUUAAUACACAAUCCCAAUCCAGUCAUCCAAAAUGCAAGUCCCGACAGUCCAAAACCCAUAUAUCUAGUAUUAGGGUUUUCUAAACCCUAAUUAGGGUUUCCAACCAAAUCAUAGCCCAAUAGGCCCAAUAGCUUGGUCUUUUGAUCAAUUUGGGUUUAUUAGGCCCAUCAGAGUUUCACUAGGCCCGUUAGGGUUUUGCUAGUCGGGCACCACCCACUACCACCUCGGGUAGUGGUGGUCAACGACGGCUCACGGCGGCGGCCACCACCUCACGGUGGUGGUUAGGGUUUCUAGUCCAUAUUUGUCCAAGUAUCCAAUAAGCAACUACAUGCAAGAAAAAGCACAUUGCCACCCAACGCGACGGUUGGUGGCGGCAGGAGGCGGCAGCCUCCACCUCACGGUGGUCGUUUUGAGUUUUCUUAUUAUUAUUCUGUUACAGAUUACAAUGUACAAAGCAAAAUCCCGAUAACACACACAUACUAAGCUAAACACACACACACACACACAACCACCCUUGUGGUGGCCGGCNGGCGGGGGUAGAGAGUGGCAGCCACCACCUUACGGUGGUGGUAGUGGCCUUUUUCUUGAUUUUCCGGCCAAAAAAACCACACACAACACACACUACAACAGGAAACCCACCCACACACUUCUUUUGCCCGGAAAAGGAACACAUCUACCCUUCAGGUGGCGUUUAGUGACAGAAGAACCACAGAGAGGCGGCAGUGGUGGUGAUUUUGCGAUGAUAGACACCACCUCACUAUGGUGGCGAAGGCUCCUCUUGAUCUUCUACCCAUCAACAAGUCGACAAACGCAUAGAUGGGACACACACGAACCACCGACGACAUCGUCUUUAACGGAAACGGGCGAUGGUGGAGAGAAUAUGCGAUUGUGGUGGCGAUCGCCUCACCAAGGCUGUGGCUGGAGGGUAAUGGUGGUUCACGUCUUCUGUGGAGUGGCACAACGAUGGCUCGGUGGUCGGAGAAGCAAGGGGGGUAGGGUGGCGGCCGGUGAGGGAGACAUAAGGGGGAGGUGACAACUGUUUCAUCCUCCUAGGGUUAGGGUUUCGGGAGGAUUAUAUACCCGCCUCCAUUUUAAAUGUUUUGCCAUAAUGAGAAUAAUAGUCCCUCACUUCCCUUUUUCUUUCAAUCUUAGCCCAUAAUUUACCAUUUAAACCCCACCUUCUAAAAUUCCUUACAAUCAGAUCCGUAAUUUACCAAGCAGCUCGUCCUUCUACAAAUUGUUUUCAAUUGAAGUCCUUAUGUUACCAUUCAACCCCUAAGCCUCCAAAAUCUCUUCAAAUUAAGUCCCAAUCACUACAAGAAAAAGAGGCUUCUGUGACUAAAAUGUUAGUGAUUGAUUAAUCAGUCUUGGAUACCAUGUAUCUAAGACUGAUGAAUUAGUCUCAAAUACUAUCUAGGACUGAUUUUAUUAUGUGAAUCAUUAGAGACUGACAAAACUUAUUCGAGACUAAAAUCCAGUCCCUAAUAUGUUUGCCUUGAUCUACGUUUGGUUUGAAACGCAUUGGGGACUGAAUUUCAGUUUCGAAUAGUCUAAUGCCAACUUCGAUUUUGGAGAGAAAGGUAUAUGGGACUGAAUUUCAGUCCUUGGUAGACUUUUGUCGGUUUUGAUUGUGUAUAGAACUUAUUAGGGACUGAAUUUCAGUCAUUGAUACUACUGCACCAAUUUGUCCUCUGGAUGGGAAACUUUCCUAAGACUGAAUUUCAGUCCAUGAUAGAUAUCACUAUUUUAUAUUUUUAAUGAAUACUUUUAACUAACCUAAUGUAGUGGUGGAUGUAUACGUAGGUAGGGUGGGUGUGGGUAAAAGUGCAUGGAUACUGGAAUUUGGGAUAUGGUAAGGUAGGGUGGGUGGUACGAAAUCAAAUUCCGUAGCUAAUUUACUAUGAAAUUUGCUACAAAAUGAAAUUUGGAAUAAAUACGGAAAUGACUACAAAAUUAAAUUUCGUAGCUAUCCAGCUACAGACUUAGCUACAAAGUUAAAUUUCAUAUUUAUCCAAAAUUGGCUACACAAUCAAAAUAUGUAGCUAUCUAACUUCGAAAUUGGCUAUAAAAUCAAAUUUCAUAGCUAUGUUGUUAUGGAACUGGCAACAAAUUCAAAUUUCAUAGUUAUUCAACCAUAGAGUUGGUAUGGAUUAAUUUUUUGUAACAAAAUAAAAUAUUAUAAAGUUAAUAAAUAACAUUAAUUUUCAAAAUACUAAUAAAAAAAUAUAAAAAUAACAAUAGUAUUUAUAAAUUAAAAAAUUUGAAUUUAUUUGAUUUAUUCUAAAAAAAUCAGGAUUCCCUCUUCCCUCCAAUUUAUAAAAAAUUCAAUUUUUUUAAAAUAGGUUCCCCCUUCUCCGAAUCUUAUUCCCUCCCAUCCCUAAUUUUUAACGAUCUCCAUUAUCAAAAUUUUGUAGACAUAACUCCAAAGUCUUAUCCGCUUUGAAUCCCUCUAAUUCGUCGCACUCCACCCACGUCUCAUUUCUCCCUCUUAUGAUGCCCUCAUGGUCUGCAACAACAUCCACCCCUGCACACUACUUCUUUAUCGCUGAAAUAACCCCACCAUAUCUCCGACAACCAUGCACCACCACCUAUUUGGUUGAUCGAUUCAGGUUCUCCCAUUUUCUAGAUCUGAGGCACUCUGCUUUUUCGCUUUCCCUUUUGUUGCCAAGAUUUUAAACAUUGAUCUUCAUGUUAAACUUGAAUUCUAAUACCUAACUUUCGUAUUUCCAAAGAAAGAUGUUAAGAUAGUCACCUAUCGUGGUUAAUUUUUGCUCUUAUUUUGUGUUUGGAUGUAUGAUAACUUUCAAUUUAAUUGAGAUAGCAACCCAUGAAAAACUUGUUGUUGAAACAGAACAAAAAAUAGUUAAAAUAUUCUUAUAUGAUAUCGUAAAAUUUUCCAUCUUAUAUCUCAGAAUAUUGAAAAUGGAAUUUUAGACACCGCUACUUCUCUCUCUCUCUCUCUCUCUCUCUCUCUCUCUCUCUCUCUCUCUCUCUCUCUCUCUCUCUCUCUCUCUCAGCUCAAAAGUGGUAAAACACCCCUGUUACUCCGUCUCCCUAUAUUUUUCUCUCUGUAUGUGUGUGUAUGUGUACAUUUUGGUUCAUUGACAACCAUAAUUAACAACCUAAGAACCAAUUUCCCUGCAGGUUCUAAGGUUGUCUUCAUUGACGCCCAUAACAUGUUCGAUGAAAUGUCUCAUAUAGCUUGUGGUCCAUCCCAGCGAUGAAUUUCCACAUGAUUGGGAACAAGUUACCGAAACAUAUAUAAUCCCAAAAUGUUUCAUUCAUUCAUGCACAGAUACAGAAACAUGUGUAAGACAAUUUUUUUUAAUAAUAAUAUAUAAACCAACAUUUCAGCCAUGAAUUUGUUUACAUCACUUUUUCCUAUUCCAUAACCUAUUACAAAGAUCAUUGUCAAAAAAACUUCUUAAAAAAACGAUGACCAUCACCAGCCCAGGCAACACCACCACCAACUCUAUGCCCCAGCAGCACAAACAAUUACCAGCACCAGCAACAAGCAUCACCAGACACAAAAUCUAUUACUAAUAUCGACAUUAAAAAACUUAAAUAACGCACCAAAACACAAACCGAAGACAUAAAUGUUUUGACCUAUACAACUUUUUUUAGUUAAACAGCAUGUACAUGAACACACCCACAGUAACAACACCAACAAUUCCAAGAAAAUACUUCACUUUAUUACGUUUGUUGUGCUCCAAGACCAUCUUCACAUACAAGCCUUGCAGAGAAACGAAAUGAUUCUUAAGAUCAACAACGGUAUUAGAGAUAUCCAGCUGACCAGCGCGAACGUCAUCGACCUCACGGUUCAUGGCAUCCAAGUCUCGAUUAACACCCUGUUGGAGCUCACACAACUGGCCUUGGAAGUCCUCCCAUAUGAAAGACAACUCCAACUGGGUUUGUGGUAGAUUUGUGGCCAUGUCUUCGUUGGUUACACCAUUGAAAUGAUUCUCCUCCAUGUGAUGACGGUAGAUUUGGAGACCAACUGUGUUCUGCAGGUUCGAGCGAAGGCAUUUUCCAAUUUUGGAGUGAAGUUAAAGACAAGAUUAGGGUAAUGAAGUUUGCAGAUGAGCCAUUUUAGGGCAACAAAGUCUUCAAUUUAUUUGGAGGCGCUUGAAUAGUCGAAGCAUGCUCCCUACGAUUCACAUUCAAUACGACGUCGUUUCGGUUGUUAGGACGCUUUGAAUUCUUGCCAUAUCGUCGCUUACAUGUUAGGCUACGCUUAUGUGGCAAUGUAAACCGACUACAAUAUGUGAAAGGGCUUAUAUUUGUAGGUAACAGAUAAUUCAUUCCCUUAUAAAGCCACAAAAUAAGUUAGUUGGCUAAAUAGGUAAACCCUAGAAACAUAAUAAGGCAUAUAUGUCAUUUUCCCUAGUAGUAAAUAGUAAACAAAAAAUAAAAACCGAUUCUAAGGAAUAUCUUGGAGUGGGAAAAAAUAAAAGUGAGGACGUAGAAAAUGACACUAGGCAGAUUGAGGGUUUAAAAUAAUGNUAUAUAUAUAUAGUUUUUUCUUUCCCCCACUAUAAAUACCACCCAACCCCAACAUUAUUCUUAACCCAUUUCUUCAUACUCUUUCCGAAAAACACUAACACACAAUGUCAUCAUCUUCAUCAUCCGAUUUGACGACGUUUACAUGUUUAUAUUCAGCCCGACAAAGUAUUGGCAGAAUGAUUUGUUUGAAGAAUCAGAUGAUGAUUCAGAUAUUUUCGUCGAGAGUGAGGAUUCCAAUGACGAGAAUGACGUAGAUUAGAACGAUGAUGACGAUGAGGUCGAUGCCGAAGACGUUGAUUCCGAGUGACGAAUUUUGGCUUUUUUAAAAUUUGGAUAUUAAUUAUGUUUUCUAAGUUGUGGUUUUUUAAUAUUUGUUUUUUACUAGUUGUUUUUUUUUUCUUUUUUUUAAUUUUUAAUAUUGCUUAUUUUAAUGUGUCUUUUAAUAUUAUUUUUAAUUAAUGAAUUGGUUUUUAUUUUUAUUUAAAUUUUAUGUUUAUUAUUCAUUUAAAAAAAUUAUAAAACAUCAAAGUUAAUUAAUUUUAUUAAAAAAGAAAAAAAAAAGUAAAAGAAGUUUCCGCACACUCUCUUUUGAUGAGGGAAAGGCCUUUUGAUUAGGGUGUUCAAAACCGGAUAUCCAAAAUUUCGGAUAUCCGAAAAUUUCGGAUAGUACUUAUUUACAUCCGAAUCUGUAUCCGAAAUUUCAGAUAUCCGAAAUCCAGAUAUCCGAAAUUUCGGAUACGGAUUUGGAUAUUAAAUCGGAUAUCCGAAAAUGUUGACCCUUCAAAAAUAUGUUGGAUUACAAAAUGAAACAUGUUUCAGUUACUUUGUAGCUAUAAAUCAAAUAUUUUUCACUUCAUUUAGUUCAUUUAAGGUUCGUAAAUAAAAAAAGAAUUUCUCUUGAUCAUACUAAUUAACACAGGAAGUGAAAUAUAUUAAUUUAUUGCUUAUGAUAUCUAUUUACGUUAGCACAAAACGGUUAAACAAAUCAAACAAAAAAUAUAUAAUCAAUAUGUUUUACACAUUUAAAGAUAGACAGAGUAACAUUACUUCAUUGCAUUAGAUACUUUUAAAGGUUAAAAGGUUGGGACUAUUUAAUUACAUUUUUGAAUAUUCAUAUGUGUUUAUCAUUAAAAUCUAAUGUACUCAACUUGGCAUAAACAUGACAUGGAAUUAUAGAUACAUUUCACUGGAAAGAACAUAAAAUAAACUUAGCACCCAAAAAUUAAAAAAAAAAAAACGUAAUUAGCAGUGUUACAUGUCGGAUUAAAGUUAAUAAACAAAUACACAAAUGCCCAACUCUUCCCGAAUAUUCCUUUUUGAGAUAAAAAAAAUAAUUGUAAAAUUAAAUAUUUCGGAUAUCGGUUAUCAAAAAUUCAGAAUAUGACUAUCCGUAUCCGAAUCUGAAAUACUGGAUAUCCGUAACUACGGAUAUCCGUAGCUACGGAUAUCCGAAAUUUCGGAUAUCGGUAUUUUUGAAUACCCUACUUUUGAUGAGGGAAAGGAAAGCCCGAGAAAAGGUGACGCGGAAAAAAUGAGGGGACAUGCAACCUCUGGUCUUAAAUAUGAUACCCAAGCCAAACCAGAAAUGUAAACCCUAACACCCCGCUCCCGAGUUCAACUUAAAGAGAGAAAAGAAAGGAAAUGGGAGGAAAUGAGAGGAAAGCAAGAGAGAAUGGUGCUCCCGAGUUUCAUUAAAGGAAGGAAGUGGAAGGAAAUGGAAGGAAAACUUUCCCUCCUACCUUUCCUCCCGAUUUGGGAGGAUUUGAAAAGAAAGAACAAAAUGUUUAACUUUCUUUCAAUUUCUCUCAAACUCGGGAGCACAAAUGACAUUUCUUUUUCCUUUCUUUUCUCUUCUUUUCUCUCCUUACUUUCUUUUCUCUUCUCUUAUUUUCUUUGCUAUAACUCGGGAGCGGGGUGUAAGACGCCAAUACUUCGACAUUUUCUUCAUUGGUAUGAUGGGUAAGUUUCUACUUCAUAAACUUACAUGUUUUUAAUUCAUCGAAAGUCCUGUGCGAAAGAGAUUUCGUUUAGGAUUUCUCUUGCUCAUUCCAUUAGGAAAUGUAAACCCUGUUUUGGGUAGUCGUUGUCAAUCAUCACGUAUCCACUGGAAAACAGAAAUCAGGAAACCGAUUUUCCGAAUAUUUAUUACAAUAGUUUGAAUAUGAAGGCUAUAAUCUAGUUUUUGCAAGUAUGAAGGGUAUACUAUGUGGUGAUGUAAGUUGUUUUGAGUUGGGUUUUGCCAGGGGAAGCCAUUGAUGCAACUAGAGAAAUUGUAUCCCUGUCAAAUGCAAUAAACCGAUAGAGUGGUUAACCCAUGUAUGGUUUCGUGCCGUGAGUCACACUUUUUCACACACAGGUGUCCGAGGUCAGCUUGUUUGGCAUAUUCCAUUACUAUAUUCCUUUUGGAUAGGCAAAUAGCUGAUAUUGCUCUAGGUUGGACACUCUUACAACCAUUAAAUCAUAAGAAUUGCAAACAAUACAGCUUCUAUAUCAUGAAUUAUGUUACCACACCUAAAAAGAAAAUUUAAGAUGAGUAUUAGAAAUGUGAAGUUGUUGAAUUUUUUGUUGCCUUCCAUUUCUUUGAAAUAACAUAAUCCCAAUUUUUUCUUUUCUGAAUCUAAUGACAGAGAAUUAUAGAGCUGGGAUUGUAACUUGUGCUAAAGAAGAUAGAAUCAGUAACUUGCCUGAACACUUGAUAGACUCAAUCUUAGAGCGGGUCCCGCUUGAAGAGGCUGUAAGGACAAGCAUUUUAUCAAAAAAUUGGAGGUACAGAUGGACCACAAUGAAAGAACUGGUUUUUGAUCAGCAAUUCUCCAAAAAAUUUGCAAAAAAUGGAGCUUUUGGUCAUAAUGGGUUUAUAAGGAUUGUAAACAAAGUCUUGUUCUUUCACAAGGGUCCUAUCUUGAAAUUUCAUGUCCAUGUACCAAAUAUGUUUCUUGAUAACUUUGAAGAAGUUGAUCAAUGGGUGCUAUUCUUAUCAAGAAACGGUGUCAAUGAACUCCUCCUUAACAAUUCGAAUCGCCGAUCUGAACUUCCUUCUUAUUUGUUUUGUUGUCUAGAAUUGACAAAGUUAGAACUACACAAGUGUUGCUUUAAGCCACCACUUGAGUUUGAAGGAUUUCUCAAUCUUGAAAAACUUCGUCUGGAGGAUAUUGAUUUUGGGGCUCGCUUGUGUGGAACUAAGUUCAACCUACCACAACUUAAGAAGUUGUCCCUGCUUAAAUGCACGAAUGUCUACAAUUUCAACAUUAAGGCUACAAGACUGCAGGAAUUGAUUGUCUAUGCUUGUCAUGAUGCCAUGUUGCUCCGGUUAUUGGAUAGUCCGUGCCUUCUUUUGGUUUCGAUUGCAUUUGAGAAACCCAUAGAAGAUUUUGUACGUGUUGAAGAAAUGAAUUUGGCCACAAUGUUGAGUAACUUGUCCAAAGUUGAAUACUUUUAUAUCAACAGUUAUUUUCUUAAGGUACGAUAUAAAGGAACACCUUUUAUGCUUAACCUUUGCUCUUCCUUAACUGGAGUUUAUUGAGUAAGUUAAUGAGAAAUGGCACAAGAGGCACCCGGGGUACCAGGUUUGCCAUGUUGGGUUAGAAAAUGUGAUCUCAAAAUCGUCAAAAAAUCGAAAAACAAAAACGAAAAUGCAGUGUCGAAAUCGAAAAACGUGAAAACAUAGUGUCUUUUGUGCCAUUGAAUAAAAUUGGAAAAUGUGAUGUUCGAUUUAAAACAAAAAACAAUGCACUUUCAAAAUAAAAAAAAAAAAAAAAAAAGAAAAAGAAAGUGAAAACAUAGUUUCUUUUGUGCUAUUUUCCCUAAGUUAAAAUCUUACUUUCAUCUCACAGUUUUUGAUUGCAGAAAAGAUUCCAAAAUUGCUUCCAGGUGCGAUUAGUAGUUUAAAGCAUCUGUGGUUGCUGGAUAUUCAACUUGGUGAUUUGAAUCAACUUCAUGCUGUUCUUUGUUUUCUUCGAAACUCACCUAAUCUUGAAAAACUGUUUGUUAGGCACUUUGAUAUGGUAAAGUGAAAAGUGUUAAAAGUAUGUAUAAUACAAGAGUUGGGAGCUAAACUGUGGUUGCAUUUUUAUGUUGUUUCAGGAUCCCCGAGUAGAUGUGGGACCAGCUUCUGAUCAUUUAGAAUCCCCAAACUGCUUGGACUCUACAUUGGAUCAGUUGAAAAUUGUUGAGAUGACAUGUUUAAAAGGAUCAAAACCGGAACUACUUUUUAUAAAGCUUCUUCUUGCUCAUUCCCCUUCUCUCCAGAAGUUUACCAUUAAACCAAGUAGAGCUUCUGAUGUUCAAAAAAGAUAUGACAUUGCUAAAGAGGUUAUGCAGUUCCCUCGAGCAUCAACAAAAGCAAAAAUGUUUUUCUUUGAUCCGGAACCAUAAUCAUGUAAGAAUCUUCUCUCCAUUAAAGUUUAAACACCCUCUUAUUUAUCCUAUUGCUUUCCUACCCUUAUUUUCACAAAGAUCCUUGGUCCUUGGUUUUUCAUGUUUUUACUUUUUAAGUCCUUGAAAUAAAACAAACACCUAUUACAAUCCAACAAAGUUUGUUGCUUAUAUUUGUUUAAACAUAAGAUUACAUAAAAAAAGGACCACCAUAUUGAAAGUUAUAGUAAGUAACAAGAGCCCCUUGGACUAUAGAUUUCAACCAUUAGGCAACCAGGAAUUUGUAACGCCCUGGUAUCUUAUGAUUUAAUUCAAAAGAUUCGUCUAAUUGUUACUUGAUUUUUUAUUUCUUGUGGUGAGUUUUAAUAUACUUGUGAAUAGUUGUGUUCAUGAAGAAGAAACUGAUGAUCUGGGAUUUCUGUUAUGCGGAUCUGCAGUGACCAUAGCAAACAGUCGCUAUGUUGAAGAACAAAGGGAAGCUGAAGCUGUGUUUGUGUGUUUGUGUCAAAUUACAUCUGUUGAAACAGAAAUAGUAAAGUUUAGUUCUGUUUAUUUAGAUUAGAAGCUACAGUAGUGUGUAUAAAAAUACUGGAAAGUCGUUAUUUUGACAAGUUUUGUUAAUCCUUAUGUUAAGUAGCAUAUGCUCUACGGACUUUGUAUGGAAGUAAUUUGUAUUUCACUCAAUAUAGAUUGUAUUAGGUAUUCCACAAUUCCUAUUAAUUAAUACUGAAGACAAUUAUCAUUAUGGUUAAACUCAAAGUUGAAAGAUUCUUGUCAAACACUGAUCACCAUUCUUUGUUGUUAUUAAACACGAACAUGUUUAUUGGAUUUGCCUUCUAGUGUCUCCGUUCUCGUCCUAAUCUCCACCUUCAAUGAGCAUUGUAAUAGUUUAGAUGAUUUUCAAAAUAUAAUGUUUUAAUAUGGAAAAAAAUACAAUGUUAUAAUUGUUUGAGUUUUCAAGGUAUAUCGCCUUAUAUGAAUAUUUACCACCUAGAGCUGGCAAUGGGUCGACAUGUUCAACCCAUUUAUUAAUUGGGUUGAAGAUAUCAACCCAACCCAACAUUUUUAUUUAAAUGGGUAGAUAUUUGUAACACCCAUAAAAAUCAAGCCAAUUUAAAACUUUUUUAAACAUCCAAAAGCCAUUAGUUAUUACAACAUGUUUUCAAAAUAGUUUAAUAUGUGAGUAUCCCAGAAACCAUAAGUCCAAAACAUGAGGAUGUGUACGGUCACAUUUUCGCCUUGCCAAGUCAUCUGAAACACCUGAAACGAUAAACUGAAACUGUAAGCACAAAACUUAAUGAGUUACCCCCAAAAUACCGAUACACAUACAAUCCAAUAACACAUGUACAACUAACAGCACGUGUCACACCCCCAAACCAAGGAUGGCGGAAAUGUCCGGGGGUGGAGGACUUAAUGUAUAGUAUCAUAACCACAAUUGCAAUAGUAAUUUAAGCAAAUACAACCAACAUAUAUAUAAUUGAAAGAGUUACAUCAUUGUGUGAGUUACAUGUUUUCAAAUCAAUUACAAUAUGUUAACAAAACAUGAAAUGUUGAUGUCUUAACGUCCCAUCCUCAAAAUGCACUUUGAUACCUGUUUAGUGAUUUCCUGAGAAUACAAGUUGUUUGAAAAAGUGUCAACACAAAGGUUGGUGAGUUCAUAAGCUUUUGUUUUCAACUUGAUAAAAGUCUUUCUUUUGUAAAUGUCAUGUUUGUUUCAGAAAAAUCCGAUAUUUUCCUUAAAAUGUGUAAUGUAGUCUUAUAUCCGAAAACCGAAAUGUAUAAGUAACCUUUCUUACUUAUAGAAUAUGAUGUAAGUAUUAAAUCAACAUAAACGCAUUUGGAUUCAAUGAAAUUCCCGUGAAUUCUUAUGUAUGUUAAUACUUUCUGUGAGUUCAUUAUAACCAUGCUAUGACCUAGUUGGUCUGAAACGACGUUCUUCAGGCGUCAAAAAUGUUUAUGACAUUUGUCACCCCAGACCUGCCGUUCUAACUGUUGCAUGCAGUUAAUGUGUCGGUUUGUCAAACCCAAUAUAGAUCUAUAUACAACUAUCACGCUCUCCCUCCAGGAGACUCUGGUUACAAUGCAGGACUUAUUGGUAAAUGUGAAGCGAAUGUCUCACAAAGUCAUUAACGAACUUACGUGUAAUGUGAUGAAAAUCCCUUUUUGUAUAAAUGUACCCUUUUUGUAUGAGUGUUGUGUAAUGUAUCAUAAACUAUACCUAUUAUAGUUUAUAAAAACAAGGGUAGUAGUGGUAAUGUACGUAAACUAUAUUUAACAUAGUUUAUUCGAGUGUUUGUGUGAUAUGGAUGUACUUUGAUUAUACAAUUUGUUAUCUCUUAUAUAUGUAUCAAAAUCCAUUUAUUAACUGAUUUAUGUCUAUAUAUCAAGACAAAGUGUCAUUUAUUUGCAAUAACAUAUAUUCACAUAAAGAUGUACACCUUGCUCGACAUGUUACAAGGUGAAAUGAAAUUGUUAGUAUUUUUCUAUUGUUAACAGAUUCCAUUAUUGUUUUAGCAAAUUUAUAGAAAAUUCAUAACAGAUCCAAAUCAGAAUCCGUAAAGUCUGGGAGUUUGUAAAAUGAGUCUAUUUUGUUCAUAAAAUUUUCAAUGAUUUUUAGUGAACUCCAACUUAGGUGAAAACGUCCAUAAACACAGACUGGUCCAGAUUGGUUCUUGAAGUGAUAGACAGUUUUGUAAAAAUCACCGUAAAUCGUAGAAAAAUCUUAUGGAGAUGUGCAAGUAGCCAUUUUAAAGCUAAGAACUUGAACUACUUGCACCUCGUACAUUUUUGAAAACUAAAAUGUUUUAUUUGACCAAAACAGUCCGUGAAUGGAGUCCAACUUUUCUAAUGAAAGCUGUUAGAAACAUUUAGUUGUGUUCUUGGUGUUUUAACUUGUAUUNNNNNNNNNNNNNNNNNNNNNNNNNNNNNNNNNNNNNNNNNNNNNNNNNNNNNNNNNNNNNNNNNNNNNNNNNNNNNUAUUCCCCCCCCCCCCCCUUAAAACUUAAGUAAAUAUGAAAAUGUAGGGGUAUGAACUCACCUUGAGUGAUUUAAGUGGAUGGAUGAUGGAGAAAUUUAGUAUUCCACUCAAGAACACUAAGAAGAUGCCUUGAAGGUUUGAAGAUCUAACACUAAUGUGAUGGAAUUUGUGUAUGAAAUCUAUGAUUUGGAGUAAGAGGAAGUGAAAUAAUUAUGUGGAGGAUGAAUAUACUUACCAAAAAUGGGAGAAAACUUAGAAGAAGGCCCUUGAAUCUCGAAAUCUUGGUGAGAGGAUUGAGAGAGAAAAGUGUUUAAUUUUUGGUGAAAUGAAAGCAAGUGAGUGAGAAUGAGGAGGGAGGAUGAAUGUCCAGCUCUAAAAACGUGGGAAUAACUUGUGAGAGAGAUAAAAAGGACAAGGAAGUGACAAGGUAUGGUGGGGAGGAGUGUGGGUUAGUCAUGGAGUGGGUAUGGGGGGUGCUUGUGUCAUAAUACAAAAAAAAGUCAACACUCAACCUUUGUACUUCACCCACUCUUCUUGGAUAAGGUUUUAUCCCCAAAAACGUGAUUAAUCAUUAAUUAGGGGGCCUUAUAUGUUAAAAUAAAGUUUUGGGUGAAAAUCCCGCGUUAAAACGAUGAAAACGAAGCUAAAAUGAAGUCGUAGUCGAAAACCGGGAAAAACUUAGUUUUUCAGCGAGGCCUCUCGGUCCUGGCCGAGGUUCGGUCCUCCUGAGGCUAGGCGCGAAAGCGAAAUGAAGCGAAAGCAGCAAGAAGCGAAGUGCAGGUUCGGUCCGAAAGGGAAGAUGGAGCGAAGGCGAAAUGGAGCGAAAGCAGCCUGAAGCGAAGCGGAGGUUCGGUCCCAAGAGGACCUUCGGGUUCGGUCUUGUGCGAGGUUCGGGCCCGAGAGGACUCUCGGUUCAGCAGCUUGGUGUUCGGUCCUCUUGGUUUCAGUUCAGCAGCUUUGGUUCGGUCCUCUUGGUUUCGGUCCCUAAGAGGACCUUCGGCCCUAAGAGGCUUCGACCAUAUAUAGUGGGUUUCGGGUCUUUUAGGGUAUUUUACCUGUUCUAACUCCGUUUUAAGCGAUUUUUGACCCGGUUAAGGGUCAGAAUGACCCGAAUGACUUCAAAAAGUUACGGAAACCAUUGAGAGAGAUUUGGGAGAGAUUUCAAAAUAGAAAGAGAUAGAGUGAAAACGAUUGAGAGAGGUUUCAUUUGUGGCCUUUUUGAGUUUCCGGCUUUGCAAUGCAAGGUCCGUAAACCCCAUUAAACGAUGUUUUAGUGUCUUACACACUCCCGAUGAGUGUGCAUUAGUGUUUUAUCGCUUUGGUUCAUUGUUUAAUGCAUUUAAGGCUUAGGAAAAAUUCAAUCACACGGAUUUUUCAAAUGAUGUUUUCUCAUUAAAAUAGCAGAUUGUUUAGUAAAUACACAACGUAAACCCUAAUACGUAAGGGCUAUUUGAGUCGUCCGGUUUGACUUGUUGACUAUGUUUGACUUUGACUUGACCCGAAAUUGACUAUUGUCACAGCACGUAACGGGUCCAUAACUUUAGAGACUGGAAUACCCCUGGGCCCACAGUGUGAGUCUAGAUUGCCUACCAGGCCCAAAGCUCACAUCUAGAUGUCGAGAUGUAACAGAUAAAUUCACAUACCAAUAAUCAAUAAUAUCACAGGUAGUCCUACAGGCCUACCAAACUAGCAUAUCCAACUAGCAUGCAUAUCUAACAAAUACUUAUCAUAACAACUACGAGGAUAUCAAUUGAAUCGGCCGGCCUUGGUGCCUUAGACCCCUUAGUAUAGUGAGGAUAACUCACCUGGCACUGCUGAAGUCCCACAGAUAAAACUCCAGCUGCUGGUUGAUAGAUUCCCGAACUGUCAUCAUCAAACAAUACCCAAUUAAUAAUUGGGUUCCAAGCCCAAAGUCCAACUCACACUCCAAAGGCCCAAAAGUCAAGCAAUGGGCCAAAGCCCAACAUAUGGUCCAAUUUUCUAAAUUGGCCCAGACCUCUACAUGGUCUUUCCUUAAGGCCCAUUUGUUUAUUCUAGUCCAAACUCUUGGUAUUCCCAUGGCCCAAUAUCACGUAAACAGAAAGGCCUAAUUAUGGCCCGCCAAUGGCCCAAUUUUGAAUUUUCCAAAUUGGGCCCAAGACUCUCACAUGGAUUUAUCUUAAAACCCAUAUAAUUAUUUAGACCAUUUACUUAGUCUUGGAAAGCCCAUUAAUAGUCCAAUCACCAGAGCCCAAUGGAAAGGCCCAACACAAAGCCCAAGUGAAAUUAGGGUUUCACAUAAAAUGACAAUUAGGGUUAAGUAUUUCUCACUUAACCCAUUAAGGGCUUAAUCCAUUAAGUCCCUCACUCUACUAAAUAAGUCUUAUGGUGGGAUUGAGUGCAAUUCACAAUUCCAAUGGCCCACAUGUGGGUCCCAAUAAGUAGAAGGCCCAUAAAUCAAAUGUUAGGGUUUUCCAAACCCUAAUUAAGGUUUCCAACCCUAUCUUAGCCCAAUAGGACCAAAAGCUAGGUCCUUUGAUCAAUUAGGGUUCAUUAGGCCCAUUAUGUCACACCCCGAAAUCGAUGGCGGAAAUGUUCCGGGGCGAAGGACGUCAUGUAAAGUAUCACAACCAAUGUACAUAGUAAGCGUAGUAAACACAAAACAUUACAUUACAUAGGAAUAAUUACAUUUGUUUAAAAGCAAAGUAAUACAUGUCUUAUAGAUACAUUAGUUUGAACAAAAGUAAAGACGUGACUUCUAAAUGCUUCGUCUUCUACCAAAGAACGUGGGAUACUUGUCUAAUGUUGACCUGAGAAUACAAGCAGUUUUAAAAAUAUCAGCAUAAAGCUGGUGAGUUCAUAAGCGACUUGUUUUUGAAAAUGAACAAGUUUCCUUUAGUUUUCUGAAAAAGUUGUUAUUCAAGAAAAUCCCAUAUUUUCUUAUAAGUAAAGUUUAGUUAUCCGUUUGUUACACAGUUUGGUUAAGAAUAGUUAUGUUAUCCUAGGAAAAAUCCUUAUUUUCAUUAAAAGUUGGUGGUUGGUUAUCGGUUCGGAAUGUAGUGUACUAGUAUCUACCAUACUUGUAGUGUUAAGAUAAGCAUUCUAAAAGCCUGGUUAUCCUUGGGAAGUACAUUAAUUUUAACACGUAUAUAAAACUAAUAAGUAAGUAGAAAAGUUUUCAUAAUCUAAAUUGCGAGUUCCAUAAUCAUACAAUAGACUAGAUAAGGCUCGGAGCGGGUCCAGUAUCGUUUUAUGAAUUUUGUCACCUUUGUACCUUUCGGUCCAACUGUAGCUAGCAGCCAGGUGCGGGGUAGUCAAUCCCGUAUAGAUCUAUACACUCAAGUCACGUUCGCCCUCCAAGAGAUUCUGGUUACGGGGGUAGUCCUACACUCUCGUAACUAGGGGGAGUGUCACAAGGACGUGUCUCCAAUCUUAAGAUUAAUGAAUUAAAAGAUAAUAAAAUGGGAAAUUCUGUUUUAUUGGUCCUUCACUCUUGUAUCUAGGGGGAGUGUUAUCAAGGACGUGUCUAAAGUUCUAAAUUUAAUGUUAUUAGUCCUUCACUCUUGUAUCUAGGGGGAGUGUUAUCAAGGACGUUUUUAAAGUUCUAACGUUCAUGCUUUUAACAGUAAUGAUAUGGAAAAUCAUCUGUGAAAUAUAAAAUAUAGCACUUUAUAAUGAGUUUCACAAAUAGUUUGACAAUUUACUCUGCAAGUUAAACGGUUGGUUAGUACGGUUUCCAGUGUUAAAAGCAUACGAAAUAUGAAACAUUUCAAAUGAAAUAAUAAGUUUGAGCAAAAGAUUUCCUUGUACUUUUUCUUGUAUUUCCCCCUGAAAACAUUGAAAACAUGGAAAAAGGUGUAGGGGUAUGAACUCACCAGACGAGAAAUGUGCCGGUUAGGAUGCUAAGUGUCAGUUCGGGGCUUGAAUAUACGCGAGGUUCCUAUGUAAUACGAAGAGAUACAUAAUUGUAUCUAAUUAGACCUUGAACUACUAAUUAGAUAAGAAUAUACACUCCGAGGUGCGAAAACACUUCAUUUCAAGUGUUAGGAGUGAUCCGGGUCGCAUCUAAGGAGGUGUAAGGCAUAGAUAUGGAGUUUUCUCUUCAAGAGUAAACUCCUAAGGGAGAUGACAGCCCAUAGACCAUAUCCCCAUGAGUUUACGGCCGUAAAAUCAUGGGUGGUGUGUUCUUGGAUGCUUAAUGGUCUUAUAACACUUGUGGGAUGAAUCUUGGUUUAGUUCUAAGGCAAGGGAAGUGAUUUGAUCAACGUAUGGACCAUUUUAAGGAGUUUAUGGCUAUAAAUUAGGAGUUACGGCCGUAAAAUCUCAUGUACCCUUUCGUUUUGUGUUUUGGUGAUCCUAGGUUAUGCAUAAGUGGUUCUAGUCCAAAGUAUAAGCCAUGGAAGGAAGUUAGGGCACCAUUUGACCACUUUAUAGGAUUUUACGGCCCAGGAACCAUUCCUUGCGGGGUUUACGGCCAUAAUCUCCUAAGGAGGUGGUUUCGCUCAUGUUUAAGGUCCCUAACACAAUGAUAGUUGGUUCUAGACAUUAUUCCAAGGCUUAGGAGGUGUUUAAAGGGCAUUUUAACACCUUAAAAGGUGUUUACGGUCCUUGAAGGGGUGUUUACGGUCCAAGCAUGCUCUUGGGCCGUAAACUCAUGUUUAAUCCCCAAAUGUUAAGAUUUUGGUGUUCUAAGUCCAUUAAUGUAAGCCCCUAGGUCAUUGCUAAGCACUAGAAGUGGUUUGGAAGGGUUUUUGGGGCUCCAAAACCCCAUUUAAGGGUGUUUACGGUUUGGGAUUGUUCCUGGGCCAUAAAAACUUGUUUUUGGUCCUUUUGAAUGAUUUAAACACGAAUUUGAAAGCUAAACAUGUUAAACUAUAAGCUAGGAUUGAUCACAUACCAAAUUGGAGCUUAAAAGGGGUGAUUUUGGAUCAAAGUUUGAAUUUUAGAGAGAGAGUAGAGAGAGAGAGAGUGAAAAAGCUUCAAAUGAAGUCCACUCACCCUUAUAUAGGGUUUGAGUUUGAGGCUCGAUGGAAAUCUACCCGAUACUGACGUUAAACGAGGCUUAUGGUCGUACCCGAUUUUAGUUGUCGUAACCCGAUGCGGUCGAAACUAAAAAUUUUCCAAAUAAAAAUUUGGGGUGUUUUCAUGUGUUUCUAAUGGGUUUGGACACUCACAAGGUCAUAAUGAAAGUCUCAAUUUAAUUAACCUAAUCCAAAAAUUAACGAAAAAAAUUGAAAUACAAACGGUUUUACUGACGGAACGGGUUACCGUGACGGAAAAGUUUUCGGAUUGUCACACAUUAGGUCUUCAUUGGGUGCAUUAGGGUUUCAACCAUCCCAAACAAAUCAAACACAACAAGGCAAAGCAUACCGCCACCCGACACGGCGGCCGGUGGCGGCAAGAGGCGGUAGCCACCACCCUACCGUGGUGGUUUGGGUUUUCUUUUCCAUUAUCCUUUAUCGAUUACAUCAUACAACACAAAACCAUAUUAACAUGCAUACUAAGCUAACACACCCAUCCACACAGCCACCCACACACGGCCACCCUUGUGGUGGCCGGUGGUGGUUCAUGGUGGCAGCGACCACCUCACGGUGGUGACGGUGGCUAUACUCGAUUUUCCGGCUAUACAUAACACAAACACAUACUUUAGAUUGCAUAAUACUCUCCAACCACCCACCUGCAUAAUACUCUCCAACCACCCACCUGGUGGCUCAAGGCGGAGACAGCGGCGACUUUGGGUGGCCAGUGGUGGCGGCCACCAUGGCUAGCGGCCAUGGUGGUUCUUCCUCGAUCUCCGGCCAACAUCACACGCACCCGACUUCUUGGUUCCAUCAGCACACAUCUUCAAACACCAUACAAGAUGGAGUACCGAGAACAUAACCAUGUCAGCCGCUUUGGGAGGCAAGCAGCAAAGAAAACAAGGAACAACAACGACUAUCAGCCGCAUCUCAUGGUAGUGGGUGGUGCCCCACUAGCAAAACCCUAAUGGACCUAACGAAACCCUAAUGGGCUUCAAGAUUAGUUUUGGGCCUAUUGGGCCAUGUUGGGUGGGAAACCCUAAUUAGGGUUUAGAAAACCCUAAUUUUAGAUACGUGGGCCUUGGACUUCUUGGGACCUACUUUUGGGCCAUUGGGAUUGGGUUGUGUAUUAUGCCCAAUUACGCCAUAUGAUUUCUUUAGAAGAGUGAUGGACUUAAUGGAUUAAGUCCUUAAUGGGUUAAGUUAGAAACACUUAACCCUAAUCGUCAUUUUAUGUGAAAUCCUAAUAUUACUUGGGCCUUGAGUUGGGCCUUUCUAUUGGGUUUUAUUAAUUUGGCUAAUAAUGAGCCAUCCAAGAAUGAUCAUAUGAACUAGAAUGUUUAGAUGGGCUUUAGGAUAAGGCCCAUAUGAGGGUUCGGGCCCAAUUUGGAAAAUUGGGCCAUAGAUGGUCCAUAGUUGGGCCUUGGUUCAUUAUUAGACUUUUGGGCCUUUGGUUUGGGCCUUGAGCUUCAGUAAAGCUAAGUUAGGGGUAAAGUAGUCUUUUACCCCAAGCAUGGACUUAUGGAUAUUUGUUGGGGAACCAAUUUGUAAUUGGGUGCUAUUUUGUUGUUGACAGAUUCGGGAAUCUGUCAUCCAGUAGCUAGGGUUUUGUCAGCGGGACUUCAGCAGUGUGAGGUGAGUUUUCCUCCAGUGGGAAUAGGUCUAAGGCACCAAUGCCAGCCUGUUUAUGUAGUAAUAGCAUGUUGGGGUAAGCCCGAUGCCGCGGUUAACCUGAUGCAAUUUAUAUGAUUCCGAACUUCGGUUCGAUGCCGGGGUGGUCCCGAGAAGUAGUUAUGUAUGCUUGAUGUCUUUGUGAUUCAUGCAUGUUUAUGUUAUGUGUUAUAUAUUCCAAACAUCAGUCCGAUGCUGGGGAAGCCCGAUGCAGUAUAUGUGAUUAUGUUAUAUGUUAUGUUCAGUUUAUACCGGACUUUGGUCCGAUGCUGGGUGGGGCCCAAGUUAUUUCGGACUUCGGACCGAUGCCGGGUGGGGCCCUAGUUAUGCUAGACUUCAUUCUGAUGCUGGGCGGGGCCCGAUGCAGUGGGCAAGGUCCACUAUGUGUUAUAUGUGUUAUUGUAUGGUAUGUGGUAGUUUGGGGGAGGUCACUAAGCUUCAUGCUUAAAGUUUUCAGUUUUGGUUUCAGGUACUUCUACUAGCAAAGGGAAGAGCUCGGGAUGAUCGCAUGGCACACACCACAACUUUUAGUCUGGGAUUGAUUGAGAAUCUGAUAUAUAUUUUCUCAUUUGUUUUUGAUAUAGUAUUUGAUACGAGAUUUUGAGAUACAUGACACUUGGUUUUCUUAUUGAUUAUGGAUGAUUAUAGUUUUUAUAAUGUUUUCAAAACGAAAUUUUUUGGGUUAUAUUUUUGGGAUGUUUCACUCUAAUGCUUGAAUGAUCCCACACUCAAAUCUUGAAGACCUAAAGAUAGGUGUUCCAACUAAUAUCUCAGCAACUAGCUACUUCCCUUGGCGCCCUCAUCCGCCAAUCAAUAACGGUUACUAAAACCACUAAAUCUUGACCAUGCUGAAUAACCAUCCUGUGGGACUCUGUCUAUAGACCUCCCGUAUAAUACCCUUCUUGCCAAGGUUCUCCAAGCAAAUGUCCUGCUCUCGGGCUCUAGAAAUCAUAUCAUUCAGGGUCUCGCACCCUGACUCACUCACCAAAUCAGUCGUCCACGGCUGUACUGCAGUAACUGCAGCAACCUCUACCCUAUACCGGGCUACAACUACUCCCAAGACAUCGCCUCCAAACCCAAAAGUGCAAUAGAUCGCACAACCAAUCCUUACUGCCAGAUACAAAAGACCCAAGGCAACCCGAACUUCACAAAAUACUUAUGCCACAUCGACCUACCUACGCUCACCAGCACUGAAAUAACGUCGCCAACCCCUGAGACUAACCGACCCCGAGCUGGAAUACAACCUGAUCAUGGGGUCUCAAGGUGUCUCAUAGCCAUCAUUUUGAUAAUACCUAGAAAGAUCUCUGAUAAUCCAUAUAAUGACAUCGGACCAACUCCCAACCAAACCCUUGGGGUUGUGACUUCUUUGCUACGCGUAUGGGUCCUGUGCUUUCAGUAGUAUGGGACCAUACUACCUUCCACACCUACCCAUAUUUGUCUCAAGUAUCAUCACAACGCCCUAACAAUAUACAUAAUCUGGCAAGCACUCAAUCCUCACUGCUAGAGGAAUGCUAGAUAUCUAAUAACUGGCCUCCCAGCCUCACAUAACUCACCCAUCCAUGAAACUUCCAUCAACCCUGCAUCACUAGUGUAUGCUAUCCAUACAUAAUGCUGGACCCUAUAGACUUUCGAAUAUAUGAUCCUACCCUAAGACCCCAAUCAAACAAGAACAGAACAUAAGGCCAAACCAAACAUUCUCAAGUUACAAGAUCUUAAUUAUGUAUAACCAUGAUGCAUACACUAAGCAACUACAGUAAUGAUGUCAAUCUCAUAUAAAGGAAACCCUAGGCUAGCAGGCAUCAUGUAAUCAGACAAUUCUAUCAUGCAAUUCCUGAAGAUCCGCAGCUUAAUACUAACAUGCUGUUCUAACAUAUCAUAAUAUCAAAUAACCGUAUGGUAUUUUGGGGCCUACUUACUGGCUCCGACUGAUCGUACACCCUGCAUCCUCCUGUGAUAUUUUGAAAACCUUUUUGAAAAAUCAUUUUGGAAACCUUUCUAAAAAUCAUUUGAAAACCUUUUCCUUAGUUUGAGACUGGAUUCACACAAGCGUUCCUCCAAAUCACUCAAACCAAGGCUCUGAUACCAACUUGUAACACCCAUAAAAAUCAAGCCAAUUUAAAACUUUUUCAAACAUCCAAAAGCCAUUAGUUAUUACAAAAUGUUUUGAAAAUAGUUUAGUAUGAGAGUAUCCUAAAAACCAUAAGUCCAAAACAUGAGGAUGUGUACGGUCACAUUUUCGGCUUGCCAAGUCAUCUGAAACACAUGAAACGAUAAACUGAAACCGUAAGCACAAAGCUUAAUGAGUUACCCCUAAAAUACCGAUACACAUACAAUCCAAUAACACAUGUACAACUAAAACCACGUAACGGAUCCACAACGUUACAGACUGGAAUACCCCUGGGCCCACAGUGUGAGUCUAGAUUGCCUACCGGGUCCACAACUUACAUCUAGAUUGCCACCGAGCCCAUAGUACGAGUCUGGAUUUCCUACCGGGCCCACAACUUAUAUCUGGAAUGCUCCUAGGGUUUGUUGGCUACCGUACGGAGCAGUACAACCUCAACCCAUCCCACAUAACAUGUCGAGAUGUAACAGAUAAAUUCACAUACCAAUAAUCAAUAAUAUCACAGGUAGUCCUACAGGCCUACCAAACUAGCAUAUCCAACUAUCAUGCAUAUGUAACAAAUACUUAUCAUAACAACUACGAGGAUAUCAAUCGAAUCGGCCGGCCUUGGUGCCUUAGACCCCUUAGUAUAGUGAGGAUAACUCACCUGGCACUGCUGAAGUCCCACAGAUAAAACUCCAGCUGCUGGUUGGCAGAUUCCCGAACUGUCAUCAUCAAACAAUACCCAAUUAAUAAUUGGGUUCCAAGCCUAAAGUCCAACUCACACUCCAAAGGCCCAAAAUUCAAGCAAUGGGCCAAAUCCCAACAUAUGGCAUAAUUUUCUAAAUUGGGACCAGACCUCUACAUGGUCUUUCCUUAAGGCCCAUCUGUUUAUUCAAGUCUAAACUCUUGGUAUUCCCAUGGCCCAAUAUCAUGUAAUCAUAAAGGCCCAAUUAUGGCCCGUCAAUGGCCCAAUUUUCCAAAUUGGGCCCAAGACUCUCACAUGGGUUUUUCUUAAAACCCAUAUAAUUAUUUAGACCAUUUACUUAUUCUUGGAAAGCCAAUUAAUAGUCCAAUCACCAAAGCCCAAUGGAAAGGCCCAACACAAAGCCCAAGUGAACGGUGUUACUAAUUAAUUUACUUACUUUUAAAUUAACCUAAUUAUUAACAAAUUUAAAAGGGGUUUUAUCUGACUUUACAAGAUCAGAUGAACUUAAAUCAAAUUCAAUAAGUAAAAACACACUCUUGUUUAGGUUGAAUCCACUUCUUCCUUAUGGCUAGCUAAUGAUUACGGAUUGUUAAGUUGGUUUUUAGUUGUAUUAGUAAUUUAGUUUUAACUUUACCAAUAAUUAACUAAUUCAUGUCAAACCAUGUAUGUUCACACAUAAUUAAACACAGAACUAAUUAUGAAUGUAAAUAUGCUAUGUAAGAUUUGUUAUAUAAACGCAAUUGUAGUCACAAUACACGUUCUCUAGCACAGCUAAGCUUAUUUACUCUAAUUACUAACUAAGAUUGGUCAAUCCUAGCUCUAACAAUUUAAUGUUCACUAAAUCUUUAGGUAAACAAAUUCAUGCAGUUAAUGGUCACUAAGCUACACAGAACAUGCAAUCAAGCAAUUAGAGAAACAAACAAUAGCAUGCUAAGUAAUACAAAUCAAACACAAGCAGUUUUUACCAACUAAACUUAAUCCAUAAAAAUAGAGCUAUUCAUAAGUUGGAAGCUUCAUCUAGCUAAACAAGAGUAGCUAGAUUCAGCUGCUCAUCAUAGCAACUAACAAACCAACACAAAUUGAAGUAAUAGAAAACAUGUUCUUAAUUAACUAAAAUAUAGACCUUUACUCUUUUUGGUGUUGAAAACCUUUUUCCAGAACCUUUCUUUCGCUCCAAAUCGUCUUUUGGAACUCCUUCCUUUAGCCAAAAGGUUCUUUUUCUCGUAAUGAUCAGGAACACUUAAAUAGACUCCAAAACCCCGCGCCACGUCGUGGCUAUCCAGGUCAUGUCGUGGGCUUCAAGUUAUCCGUACCGGGCAAGGAUUCCUACGAAUCGCGAUCUUUAUCUUUUAUAAUUCACUGGCCACAUCGUGGCUGACUUUGCCACGUCGUGAUUUUAGUAUCUUUCGUGGAUUUAUUCAUCUCUUGUCUUCCAAGUUCCCAUGUUCNCUCCCAUGUUCUACAUAUUGUCACUUUUGGUCCCUCUCUUCGAAAAUCCUUUUAACUGACUGAAAAUAACAAUUUAAAGUCAUAAGUACCAUUAUUCUAAACAUAUUAUCAACUUAUUAAUAAAAAUGUAUUUAAAUACUGCCUAAAAAUAGGUAUAAAUAUGGCAAUAUCAAUGACAACAGUAAGGAUCAAUUGCAUAUACGAUGAGAGUAUUUCAUGGACUAAAUCGACAUAGUCCAACUAUCAGAUAGAGUCAUAGUAUCAGAGUAGGUAGCUGCUAAUAUUACUGGUAUUAAUGAUGUAAUAUGAGCUCGGGAAAAGUGACCUAACAGUAGGUCUUACAUGAAACCAUAAGGGAAAAUGUUGGCAGUCUAGGAGUCUAGGUAAAGUACUUUCAAAGUUAGGAAUGUUUACAGACAAGUGCUCUAUCGAGCAUAGAAAAGGAAAGGCUAGUCCUUAAACAAAAGAGAGAGAAGAUUUGUCAUCUUCUACUGGCGACGGGUAGCCAUUGAGCGAACCCUCAGAUCAGCCAGUUGGCGUACAACUUCCUGAAGAUGUCGUUCAUGAGCCCUCUGACGUGCUCGGAGUUCCCUAACUUCUGUUCGGGAUGCAACUAGCUGUUGUUGUAGAGCCUCAUUGGUCCUCCUCGUCAAAUCCAUGGCUUCUUCUAGUUGGCGGAUGCGAACAGUGUUAAGGUUAGAGUUGGCAUCCACUUCCACAACUCUGCCAAUGGCUGCUUGACCUUGCUCGAUGUUCCUGGCAAUCCUACGGACCAUGAUGGGCAAGACUUGGUAUGCUGAACCUCCCUCUCUUAUGCUGUAGAAGCUUCAGUCUCCGUUGAAAGGUAAGGGAUGACCUUGAUCAUCGCUCCAUCGGUUCAAGUUUAUUGCCCACAUGGGAGUGGGACCUUGAAAUGCCGGACGGGGGUUAGGGUUUGGUGCUACUGGGGGCAGGUUGUUGACUUCUGGCUCGGAGCUGGAGCUAUCCGAAAAGCCUUCUGCAUGGUGAUCAUCCAAAGGAAUCGGGUGAUCGUCUUCUGACUCCUCUUUGAGCCAUCGCCCAACGCCUUGGUUUGGAUAGUACGGAUCGCCGGGAUGGUGGAAGCCAGCCAUGCUAUCUACGCGAGAAUGGGGAAAUAAUGGUUAAUAGACGUACUAAUCUAGGAUACUUAUAAUAUGCUUGUUAUUAGCCGACCCAAUACUUUCAUAGUGCAUACCAAUUACAUGUAACCAAAGUAGGAUAGACCUUCGAAUAAGUGACCCUAACUCUAAGUCCACAAUCAAACAAGAACAGGAAAUGAAGCAAAAGUCACAGAUUCUAAGUCUAUAGCGCCUUAGUCACAUGUAACCAUGGUGUAUCCACUUAGCUACUAUUGCCCUACUAGUAACGACCCUUUUAGUUCUCACAUAUGUAGUUAAUAGAAUGUAGAAAACUCCUAUACUAUUCUUGUUCAGAUGUUCUUGUGGUAGUGUUGGUAAGUUUUUAGACUUGUUGCAACAUUACAAUCACUCUUAGGCACAUGCUAGUCACUCCUAGGAAAAUGUAGUUGAUCAGGCUACAUUUGCCCAGAUUUGACUAUAUGUCUCUAAGCCUAAUUAUGUUGUUCAACAAUCUUAAUACUUUUGUUCUGUUCCAGUAUGAUACUGAUCCUUUGUAAUAAUGGANAUAUAUAUAUACUUAGUUAAAUCUUUUAGUAUUUAAAAGUAUAUUUUCUUGGUCAGAGUGUUUUAGUCCUGAAGUGUUUAUAGUUCGUAUAUUUUUUAUGGGUUGAUAUACUUGAUUCACUAUAAACAAAGCUUUGAUACCAAUCUGUCACACCCCAAAACCGAGAACGGCGGAAUACGUUCUAGGGUGGAGGACAUCAUGUACAAUAUUAUAACAAUGAAUAAUAGUAAAAACAAGCAACAACAUCCAUUGCAUUAGUAUCAUAAUUGUAAUACAAGCGUGUUCUGUACAGUUUGAUAGACACCAAAAGUAUAAACUAAAUAAAAUAUGAGUCUUGUAUGUGCUCCAUCUUCUCAAAAGUUGCAUCAAUACCUGCCUAUUGUUUACCUGAGAAUACAAGUUAUUUUGAAAACGAAUAUCAGCAUAAAGCUGGUGAGUUCAUAAGUAUUUAGUGUCAUUGCUUAUAUAAAAUUGUUUUCAAUCAUGUACUAUAAUAGCUGUCAUCAAUGUUUGAAAAUAGUAUGAUCCCUAGAAAAUCCUAUAUUUUCCAGUAAAAGUAGUCUUCUACCAAGACCCGGUUAUCUGUAUGUUUGAUCCUUUGAAAAUGUAACAAGUUUUCCCAGUGAAACUAUCCGUAUGAAAAUAUAGUUUUUAGACUUCAUUCAUGUAAAGUAAUUGGGAAAAAUAAUGAUUUACCCCAGCAGUGUCACUGCCGGCUGAAUGUAAUAAAAUUGCAGGCUCCAGGUAGUAUUAAAUGUACAAUACACCUUGGGGAGUCUGUUUCGCCUUUAAUUAUUAAUGUGUUAAUUAAAGGUCCGAAUGUGAACUCGUAUGUAACCAUGCUGAUUGACGAUCGAAUAACUGAUGACCCUCCAGGUCACACAUAAUAUGGUGACAUUUGUCACCCCUGGGCCUAGACGGGUCGGACUGUAGCUAGCAGUCGGAAUAUGGGAGUGUCUGUCCCGUAUAGAUCUAUACACAAAAUGUCCGCUCUCCCUCCAGGAGACUCUAGUUACACGGUGAGAGGACAAUGAAGUUUCGUAUCACGAAAUAGUAUGUCACAUUCUGUUUUAGUAUAUUCUCUUGUAUUAGUGUAUAAUGUACUUCUUGGUAUAAUGUAUUGAGUGAUCUCUUGUAUAGUAUAUAGUACCCUCGUUGUAUAGUAUUCAUCGUGUAUCGACUCGUAACAGUACUAACUAUAGCAAGUAUCAUGGUAGUAAUAGUAACAAGUGGAAAUCCUUAACUAUACCUAUUAUAGUUAAAUAGAAGUGCUAGUUGCGUGCCUUUGGUACACAAAGGUAUUGAACUUGAAAUGAAGGCAUUUAUAUCCAACACAAACAUAUAUGAUAUAUAACUAAGAAAUCAACUACAGUCGGACAGAUAACAAAGUACCCUAAGUCCAUAAUCAAACAAGAACAGGAAGUAAGGUGAGCUAUCAAUCCUAAGUCCUUCAAGUCUUACUUAUAUAAAUAUAUUGAUGUAGAUAUGGUUUAGGAAACAAAGAAAGUUUGAAAAAGUUUGGAAAUAGUUUUUAUAAAAACUUUUACGUGUAAAAUGAGUUAAAUAAACAUUUAGAACAGUUUUGUUGUCAAAGCAAUUCAAAAUAUAGAAAAUCCUUUUUAGUUGCAAGCUAUAAAUCACAUGUGAUUCAUACUAUAACAUGUUGGAUUCAACUUGUAUUCCCCCCCCCCCAUAAAAGCAUUCAAAAACGUUUGAAAGGUUAAUUAAGGGGUAUGAAUUCACUAUUUAACGUAGGAUUCGAGUGUGCGAUCGAUAUGAGUGUUGAAUGUCAACGGAUGCUCUAAACACAAGAGGUCCCUAUUAAUCAUAUGGUGAUACGUAUAUGAGUUAGAGCUAGGGUGUUUCAUGACUAAACAUGAUGGGAAAUCACCCUAAAGACUUGGAUUCAUUAAGGUUAAGAGUCCCAUGUUUCAUACUUAGUGAUUCUUACAAGUUUAAUGCCAAAUAUGGGUACUAAAGUGGGUGUAUGGCCAUAAAAGUGAGUGUACGGCUAGGGAAUGCGGCCAGACUUGUGUGUGAGGUUGCACACUGGAGUGUGCGGCCGUACACAGGAGUGUGCGGUCGUACACUCCUUGUUUGAGUCCUGUGUGUCGAUUUUGAGGGGUUUUCAAGUGUCAAACUAAGUCUUCGAUCGAUUAUAGAGGCCAUACCCUCACUUUGAAGGAUGUUUUUGCAUGUGUGCGGCCGCACUCCUUCAAGGGGGUGAAGAACACGAAGAACUCUAUGAGUUUUAAGCUUAGAUUCAAGUGUUUUACCUCUAUAACAAGCUGAAAGAUGAUGUUUUUCACGUUUUGGAUACCUUCUAAGUGUUCUUGGAUGAUGUUUUUAGAGAGAAAGUAGAGAGAGAGAGAGAGAGAGAAGGUGCAACCAAAAAUGAAUGGAAGGGGGGGUCCUCUACUAUAUAUAGGGUCAGGUGUGAGGCUGGAAGGGGUUUGCGGUUGGGUGUGCGGCUGGCCGGCCGCACACACCUCUCUUGGUGUGUUUGGCUUGAUUUUGAGGUGUAACACCCUUCUUAAGGCCCAUAUCUAAGAUAUACUAAGCCUAAAGCACUCGUGCGGACCCAAAAUUNGGCUUUGGGAUGGCAGUGGUGGCGGCCACCAUGGCUGGUGGCCAUGGUGGUUCUUCCUCAAUCUCCGGCCAGCAUUACAUGCACCCGACUUCUCGGUUCCAUCAACAUACAUCUACAAACACCAUACGAGAUGGAGUACUGAGAACACAACCAUGUCAACUGCUUUGGGAGGCAAGCGGAAAAGAAAACGAGCAACAUCAGCGGCUAUCGGCCGCAUCUCACGAUUUUCCGGUGACCCAAGCAAAACCCUUGUUGUUCACGACAUCACAUGCGGCAAGAAUGAGUGUGGCAUUCCGAAGUCGGUGUCUAAGGCUAAAAAUGGUCUUCGGCGGUCCACAACAGUGACAGAAACACGACACGGUCCAUGGUCCAUGUCGGCGACGGAAAACAACUACAGGUUGGAUGGACGAUGGCUCGCAUCAACAGUUAUGGAGGGGUGACGGCUGGAGAGGAAAAAUGGUGAAGGUGGUGGCUGCAGAUGGCAUUAUUAGGGUUAGGGCAUGGGCAAUGGAACAGUUUUAUGCCCGAUCCAUACAAACUAUGGACCAAAUUGAUGGAAUUAGUCCCACCUCCUCCCUUUUCUUUCAAAACCAAUCCUUAAUUCGCCCUUUAAACCCUUGCUCCCAUAAUUCUUUUUGAUAUAGGUCCAAAAGUUACAAUACAACCCCUCCUCUACAAAUUAUUCCCAAUUAAGAUCCAUAAAUUACCAUUUCUACCCUGGCUUCAAGAAUCCUUCUCAGAAUAAGUCUGAUAUUUACUCUUUAACCCUCGUAACUCAAAAUUAUAUCAUUUGGCACCCUAAAACCAACACCCCACUAAUUAUUAUUUGUUUCGGGGCUAUAAUAAUAAUCUAAAAUAAUAAUAAAAUUACUUCUCGGGGGUUCCAAGUUUAUUAUUUAAUUAUUCUAUUUUAAACGGGAUGCUACAAUAUUUUCCCACCCAACCCAACCUUGCAGGUAAAUGGGUUGUAACCAGGUUGACCCGUUUAUGUAUCCCGACCUAACCUAUUAAAUAAAUGGGUUAAACCUGGGUUAACUCAUUUAAAAUAAAAAAUUGUAUAAAUUAACUAAACUUAAAAGUAUAAUAAAAGCACAAUCCCAAUUCAUAAAAACAAAAAAUUGUUCAAAUAACAUUAAAGAUGUGUAAUUUCGAACUGUUUUUGAAGAGUGACUAGUGUUGUCAAUGUAAAAACAAUAGGAAUUAGGAUUGCAUUUUUUUAAAAAAUAAAUAAUAUUAAAAAUAUGUAAUUUAAAAAUUAAUACUUAGAUUAAUAUGUGGUACUAUUUAAAUAAUUAUUAAAUUAAAUAUAUAUUAAAGUUAAAUGAGUUGGUGAGUUGAAAACGGGUUGAUGAGAUUUACCCAACCCAACCUAUUUAAUUAAAUGGGUUUGGUGGGUUGACACGUUUAUCCUAAAUGGGUUGAAAAUUUCAACCCAAUCUGCUAAUUUUGGGUUGGGUUCAGGUUGGGUUGGUGGGUUGGGUUGAUUUUUUCCAGCUCUACAAUUUUCCAUUCCCAUUAUCUUCCUUAUUCUUUAGAAUCUUCCCUAAGAAUCAUCUAUUCUUCAUUCAUUCAUUCCUAAGGAUUGUCUUAAGGAAUAGGCACGAAGUCCAUCUCUACUAGGGUUUAUCUAACAUGUACUAAGUCCAUAGUUAUCAGUGUUAACCAUUAGGCACAAAGUCCAUAACUGCCAAUGUUUAUCUAUAGGGCACUAAAUCCAUAGUUGCCAAUGUUUAUCUAAUAGGUACUAAGUCUAUAACUGCCAACGUUUAUCUUAUAGACAGUAUGUCCAUAGUUGCCAACAUUUAUCUAAUAGGCACUAAGUCCAUAGCUGCCACUGUUCAUUUGUAAGACACUAAUUCCAUAACUGUAGGUGUUUUUAGAGUACAUGUUCAAAAACACCUACAGGUUGCAAUCCUGUUAGCAUUCCACUGGACCAUCUAGAAUAGUCUGUGGUCGUCAUCUAUACUCUGCUAGAUGAGUUGAUCAACUUCAAAGUCAAUGCUUCUCAUCAUCUUACACCUCUCAACAUCUAUAUCAUCUUUCAUCUCUCAUCUUUUACAUCAUCUUUCAUCUACCCAUCUAUACCUAAUAUAUUUAUAGGUAUAAAAAUACAUAUAUACAGUUUAAAUCAAAUAAACUUGUAUAAAUCAUUCAUCAAACAUAGAUACGGAUAAUAUGCACACACAACAUAUAGUUUAUAUUAGAUACUUCAUAUCUAUGUGUAAGAUAAAGUAACUAUGCACUCACUUGUUAAAGUGAAGACUCGAAUUUGGGCGGCGCUUCGCUUCUAACAAUUUUCUUUUCCUUCGACAAUACCUAGUAUCAUUAUUACUAAUUUUUAGUCUAAUAUAUAAUGCGACUAAUUAUUAGUCUAGAUUCAUCAUUAAUUCAAAGUCUACUUUAGGAUCAAUCAAGUCAGGAACAACCAGGUAGAAUCAUAUCAUAGGUAGGGUCCAUUUCGUAUACGAAGUAUACUGUUUGGAAAACACACUUUAAACACCUCACUAAAUCACAACCUCGACAUCAUCCCUGUAAGUAGAUCAAUCAGUAUAAAAAUUUGAAUCACUGAUAAAUGUUGUUUAUAGGUUCAUAAUAAUGAUAAUGAACAUAAACAUAAGUUAUACUUGAAGUAGCAUAAGCAUAACUCACUUAUAAGGGGGUUUAGCGAGGAAUUGGGCUCUGCACGGGCAGAACUUCUGAGCUAAAAGCUCUUAUUCUCGGGGCCUUCUAGCUCUCCAGAACUCGCCUCUAACACCUUGGGGUGUCAGGGAAGGAAAAAGGGUUAUGGGGGUGUUUGAGAGAGAAUGGGAUAUGAAUGGUGUGAGAAAAUCAGGAAGAAAUGGGUUCUAUUUAUAGGCUGGGUGGAGGGUUGAACGUUGGGCGUUCCCUAGAUGAAUGUUGGGUUUUUCCUAGCUGAAUGUUGGGCGUUUCUAGCCAUGUGUCGGUGGGCAUUCCCUAGAUGAAUGUUGAAUGCUGGGUGUUCUCUAGAUGAAUGUUGGGCGUUCCCUAGCUGAACACUAGUUGUUUGGUGGUGGUGGGUGGUCAGGGAUGGUGUGUGGUGGGGUGAUGGGCUGUGGGUAGUGGUGAUGGGUUGUAACGCCCGCGGAUUCGGGUUGGUUAGUUUAGAGACAAUAAGCGUUAAAAAUGAGUUUUUCAUAGAAGAUCAUUUAGAAUAACUAAUCUUAACGAGGUUAUAGUAUAUGUCAUUAGGGUUCCGUACAUAUAAAUAAUGUUGAAAUCCAAGUUAUAACGAAGAAGUUAUGACUCGUCGAAGUUUUACGGCUAAGCUGGCACAACAGCGCGUAACGUAUAAAGUGAAUUUUUGAUAAAUUACUUUUUAGCCUUAAGGAUCUAAACAAAAGUUGUAGUAUAUGUUAAAUCAAGAGCGUGCAUAAAAAGAACGUCCAAAUCUGACUUCAUAUGAGGAAGUUAUGAUUUUUCUAAGAUUUAGCAUAGUAGUGCACAACCCGGAAUUCGAAUUUUAGUUCAACCGAUUUUUAGCCGACACAAUCAAAAUGAGAAUUGUAGAUCUCAUUAAUAGGAGUUCGAAGAUAAAAAGACAGUAGAAAACGGAGUCUGUAUAUAGAAGUUAUGAAUUCUACACGGUGGUUAAUAGUGUAAUCCUCUCAUACCGUUAAAUUUAAAAUUGGUCGAGAAUUAGCCGAUGGGGUCAAAAGGAAAGUUUUAGAGUACGCCCCCACCUACACGUGGAUACAAAGAACGUCGAAAACGCAACUCGUAUGUGAAAGUUGUGGAAUUUAGAAGACGGAAGGGUGUUGUUGCGAAGGGGGUGACAUGGUUUAAUCUGGACCAUUGCUUCCUCCCCACGCCUUAGCACCAGAUGGUCACACCUGGCCCCAAAUCGACGAGUUGCAGGCUCAAAGUCGACGCGUUGAGCCACUUUUCAUCCUAUAAAUAGAGGCGUAAAUCACUUAAUUUCUCAUACUAUUUUAACCUAUUCUCUCCCAACACCCCCAAACCCUCAAGGCUUUUCCCUAACACUUCCUAAGUUUUAGAGGUGAGUCCCAGAGUGCUAGAAGGCUCCGAGAAGAAGAGCUUUGGCUCAGAAGUUCUGAGCCUGCAGAGCCCGGUUCCUAUCCAAAUCCCCGGUAACUGAGAUAUGCUUACCCUACUUUAAGUAUAACUUAUAUUUAAAUUUAGUAUUGUUAUUAUGAACUUAUAAUCAAUAUAUAAGCUAAUAUUAUGACUGAUAUAAGUGUCGUUAUAAUAUAUUUUUAACUACUCGUGGUACAGGGAAUCCGAUUUGAAGGGCCGCCUGGGUUGUUGGAUUUCAAAAGUGCUAUAAUGUCAAAAUGAUCCUGCCAUCCGGUGUUUCAUGUCUAGCCUUGUCUAUACAUAAUGGUUGAAAAAUAUUGUUUAAUGCUUAUAUAAUAAUAAUAAUAAUAAUAAUAAUAAUAAUAAUAAUAAUAAUAAUACUAAUACUAAGACUAAUAAUUAGUCACGAAAAACAUUAGACUAAAUUCUAGUGGUAAUAAUAUUAGGUUUCGUCGAAGGAAAUUAUAUUGUUAAGAAGCGGAGCACUGUCCGAGUUUGGAGUCAUCACUUUAACAAGUGAGUGCAUAGUUACUUUCAUCUUACACAAAUAUGAAGUAUUUAUAUAAAUUACGUGCUAUGUGUGCAUAUUAUAUGUGUUCUCGAUAUCUAUGAUGGAUGAACAAAAUAUAAAUGUUUUAUUCAAUUUAAACCUUAUAUGUAUAUUAUACAUAUAAUUAUGAUGGGUAAAGAUGGGUAGAUUAAAGAUGAGAUGAGACGAGAGAUGAAAGAUGAGAUGAAUUAUGAUAGAUGAAAGUUGAUAUAGAUGAUGAGAGAUGAAAAAUGAUGAGAAGCGAUGACCCCGUCAUCUAGCAGAGUAUAGAUGACAACCACAGACUAUUUUAGACAGUGUAGUGGAACAAUAGAAAGCUCGCAACUUGUAGGUGUUGUGAACGAUGUUUUCAUCAGAUGUACUCUGAAAACCCAUUGACAUGUAUUGUGGGUGGACUCCCUAAAAUAAUAUUUUCAAUAAAAGAGAUAAACCCUGGCAACUAUGAAUUUAGUGCCUCACAAAUGAACACCGGCAGCUAUGAACUUAGUACCUGUUAUAUAAACCCUGCAGCAAUGGACUUCGUGCUUUUUCCUUAGGACAAUCCUUAGGAAUAAAGGUUGAGGAAUAGAUGAUUCUUAGGGAAGAUACUUAAAAAUAUAGAAGAUAAUGAGGAUGAGUAAUUGGGUGGGUUAAUUGUUUACUGAUGAAACAUAAUAACUUUAUUAUUGUGGGUUAAAAACCCUAUGUACUCACCAGGUUUCCCAAUGAAACUCAUUCAAUUUAUUUGUAUCACAGGUGUCGAUACGAAGCUACAUUACAUUGAGAGAUUAAAGGAGAUGCAAAUCACUAAUGUAAAUAAAUGUAAGGUCUGUUUAUGCUUAUGUUUCUGUAUUGACAAUGACAUCCCAAAGUUUUAAUAUAAACAAAAUACAUUUCUUUGGAAAAGCUUUGAUAAUAUAUUUAUCAUGUUUUCUAGAAACAAAUUCUGCAACAUUAUUCUUUAAAAAUGAAUACUUUUAUUUUCAAAUAAGCAUAAAUAAUUUUUUUAAAAUGACCGUGAAUUUGGGAUGUCACAUGGGUGAUGGAGGCAGAUGGUUGUGAUGGAUGGUGGUGGUUAUGGUGUGAGAGAGAGAAAUUGUCGAUUUCAUUAAUGGUCAACGAAAACACCUCACACUCGUUAUAGAAAUGCAAUUUUGCAAUUUUAUAUAAGAAAACAAAGACAUCUUUCCAUGAACAAAAAAAGUAAAACAGGUUUUAUUUUAGGCAAUAAACCCUAAAAUUAUGAUCAGUUUGAUUAAUGUGAAAAGUAUGACCCAAUUAUUUACAAGUAUCAACACACACCAUACAAAGGCAAAAUAACUCAUGGUAAUUAUUGUUAUCAAAAUCACCCCACCUCAGACAAGACAAGGAGAAUAAAAAAGUAAGAAAUAACUUAAUAUACUUAUAAUGACGGAAUUAUAGAGCUAAAUUGCAAUGUAGUUGAACAUUCUUACAAAAUUAUCUCUCAGGGUUCAAGAGCAUAAUUUUUACUUUCGAUGAGGCUCGAGGGAACAACAUAACAUCCUUCGCAAUGUCAAGUAUUUUUAAAGCAUCAAGAACUCCUCUUGGUGUGAUGGUAAUGUCCUCGAGAAAAGGGGAAUAAGCAAGAAGAAGCUUCAUAAAAAGCAGUUCCGCUCUUGAUCCUUCUAAAUAUUCCAUAUCCACAGUUUCCAAAUGGUUCAAUGUACAAUCCAAACAGUUUGGGGAUUCCAAAUGAUCUGAAGCUGGUCCCACAUCAACUUGAGCCUCCUGAAACAAUUUAAAAAUGCAACCACAGUUUAGCAUCCAACUUUUGCACCAUAUAAGCAAAAUAAAUAUAGUCUUGGUACUCUGGACUUUACCACCUGCACACGCAGCAUAUGCAUAUGCAAGCUUUCCAGAUUGGGUGAGUUUCGAAUCAAACAAAGAGCACCAUGAAGUUGAUCCAAAUCACCAAGUUCAAAAUCUAGCAACCACAGAUGCCUUAAACUACCAAGCUCACAUGGAAGCAAUUUUGGAAUCUCUUCUGUAGACAAAAACUGUGAAAUUAAAGUUAAUUUUUAACUUACCCGAUAAACAUGAGAAUUACAUAUUGAGGAAGAGCAUAAAAAGUUUACCUUAAGAUAAUGACUGUCGAUACAAAACUUUCUAACUUUAGGCAAGCUACUCAACACCGUGGCCAAAUUCAUUUCUUCAACUCGUACAAAAUUUUGUAUGGGCUUCUGCAAAGCAAUCACAACGUCAAAAAGGCAUGGACUGUCCAAUAACCAGAGCAACAUGGCAUCAUGACAUGCAAUGACAGUCAAAUUCCACAGUUUUAUAGCUUUGAUGUUGAAAUUGUAAACUUUUUUGCACGUUUCCGGGCACAACUUCUUAAGCUGUGGUAGGUUGACCUUAGCUCCACACAACCUAGCAGCAAAAUCAAUAUUCUCGAAAAAAAGUUCUUCAAGAUUGAGAAAUCCUUCAAACUCAAGUGGUGGCUUAAAGAAACAGUUUUCCAAAUCCAACUUUCUCAAUUGUAGACAAGAAUACACAUGAGAAGGAAGUUUAUAACGUUGAUUUGAAUUAGUAAGGACAAGGUCAGUGACACCGUUUCUUGAUAGAAGUAGCAUGAAUUGAUCGACUUCUUGGAAGCUAUCAAGAACUAUAUUUGGCAUAUGAAGAUAAAAUUUCAAGAUAGGACCUUUGUGAAAGGUCAAGACUUGGAUAAUGAUCCUUAUAAACCCAUUACGACCAAAAGCUCCAUUUUUUGCAAACUUUUUAGAGAACUGGUCAUCGAAAACCAGCACCCUCAUUUUGGUCCAUCUGUGCCUCCACUUUUUUGAUAUUAUGUUUGUCUUUGCAGCAUCUUCAAUAGGAAGCUGUUCUAAGAUCAAGUCGGUCAAGUGUUCUGGCAAGUUGUUGAUUUUAUCUUCCUCACCAUAAAUGACUUCCGUCUUUUUAUGUCUCUCUAUUAUUAGAUUCACUACAAAAAAUUAAAAAUGGGAUCAAGUAAAGCAAGAAUGUUAUUCCAUAGUUGUACGAGUGUGUCCAAGCUAGAGCAAUAUUAGCUAUACGAAAGCAAAGCUAGGCCAUACAUAAAGCAUCACAAGAAAACUUGUCUUAUGAAAUGCAUGAAGGAUGAUAACCAAACAAUUUCAGUCCAAGAUAAUGAGGUUCAGGCAUGAAUGAUGGAGGGUUUUUCAGUUAAUGGGUUCAAUGAAAACAGUUAAAAGAUAUAUGGGAAUUUAAUCGAUCAUUUACUGGGAUACAAUUUCUUUUGGGUUCAAUUUUUGUCAAUCCUAAGGAUUCUUCGUGCAUCAAUGGCUUACCCUGGCAAAACCUAACUUAAAACAACAUACAUGACCACAUAAUAUUCAGUCUACUAGCAAAAACUAGAUUAUACCAUUCAUACUUGAUGUCUUGCAAAGUUAACAACUAUUCAAUUAUCUAUGGAACGCAUGUAAUUAAUAAAAUCUUACCACAUUCGGUUUCCUGAUUUCUGUUUUCCAGUGGAUAUGUGAGGACUGACAACGACUACCCAAAACAGGGUUUACGUUUCCUACCGGAAUGAGCAAAAGAAUCUAAACAGCGUAGCUCAAACAAAAUCCCUUUGCCACACGACAUUCAAAUAAUAAAAAAAACAUGGAGGUUUAUGAAGUAGAAACUUACCCAUCGACUAAGUGGUCUAUAUUUCAGGGUAAAAUGUCGUAGAAUUGAGAACUUAGGGUUUACUGUCAGCGCCUAAAUUAAAUUCACAGUAAAUUGUUAACCCCUGUUAAACCCAUUAUUUAUAGUUUUACAUGUUAUUAGUUUGAGUAAAUUGCACGAAUGAUCCAUAUAUGGUUUAGGGUAAUAUGCAAAAGUGGUAACUAACGUUUUUUUUUUUUUUUUUUUUUUUUUUUUUUUUUUUUUUUUUUUUUUUUUUUAAUAUA
This 49538-nucleotide long non-coding RNA is filed under the name Lactuca sativa (garden lettuce). RNAcentral describes it as "long non-coding RNA (LSAT_LNC000427)". The record is from RNAcentral. Lineage: Eukaryota; Viridiplantae; Streptophyta; Magnoliopsida; Asterales; Asteraceae.